RNAcentral lists this long non-coding RNA (83610 nucleotides) under Lathyrus oleraceus (garden pea). Its description in RNAcentral is "Pisum sativum (pea) long non-coding RNA (PSAT_LNC021291)". Lineage: Eukaryota; Viridiplantae; Streptophyta; Magnoliopsida; Fabales; Fabaceae. The record is from RNAcentral.
CUUUUGUUACUAACUUGACAUCUCAUACACAACAAGUUUUACAUACUCAAUAACAUUUUUUAUUUAUAGAACAUAUAUCUAAUGUAUUUAUUUAAUUAUUCUUUCAAAUUAAAUAUUAGGGAUCUAUAUUGUUGCCACACUACAAUUCAAGGGCCAUAGUAAUAGUAACAGUUAACGAAGGAAAAGGAGAUUUUGAACUUGUGGGUCAAAGAAAUGAAAACCAACAAGAGCAGAGAAAAGAAGUUGACGAGGAAGAAGAACAAGGAGAAGAGGAGAUAAAUAAACAAGUGCAAAAUUACAAAGCUAAAUUGUCUUCAGGAGAUGUUUUUGUGAUUCCAGCAGGCCAUCCAGUUGCCGUAAAAGCUUCCUCAAAUCUUGAUUUGCUUGGGUUUGGUAUUAAUGCUGAGAACAAUCAGAGGAACUUUCUUGCAGGUAUAUUAAAUCUUGAUUUGCUUGGGUUUGGUAUUAAUGCUGAGAACAAUCAGAGGAACUUUCUUGCAGGUAUAUUAUAUUAUCACCCAGUCUCUGUCACUAUUUAUUCAUUUUAAGUGUGUAUUUUAAAAGUCAACUUCUAUUUAAAUCAAGGGGAAAAUAUUAAGAUAUGCUUAUUAUUUUGGUGAUUGAAAAUUUGAAGGCGAUGAGGAUAAUGUGAUUAGUCAGAUACAGCGACCAGUGAAAGAGCUUGCAUUCCCUGGAUCAGCUCAAGAGGUUGAUAGGAUACUAGAGAAUCAGAAACAAUCUCACUUUACAGAUGCUCAACCUCAACAAAGGGAGAGAGGAAGUCGUGAAACAAGAGAUCGUCUAUCUUCAGUUUGAAAUGCUUCUUAAUGAGUGGACAAAAUACUAUGUAUGUAUGCUAUCAAGAGAUAUAUCUCACAGGGAGCAAUGAAUAAAACAAUUUUAUCUUAUAACUAUAAUUAUAUCUCCACUUUUCUACUAUGAAUAAAUAAAUCAAGAGUAUUUUGGUGUUCCUCUUAGAUAUUAUAUUAUUUUAAGAAAUUCAAUAACUAAAAGUAUAAAACACUCAUUAAAUUUAAACUAAUGUAAAGACUCAAUAUCUCAUAUCCAUGAUUCAUGAUAUACAAUCAUCAAUCAAUUAAUAGAAUUCAAAAGAAUAAAUUUGGGGUUUCUCUUGUAAGUUAGCAACAUUUAUACUUGGGGUUGGGGUACUAGAGAAAUUGGUCAAAAUAAAGAAAAAUAAAAAUAAAAUCUAGGUGUUAAGAAUGACUUCUUCAAAAAAUUUGUUAAAAAGAAAAAGGAAUGCAAGCUAGUGGGAUACACUGACUCAUGUUGGUAUGGUGAUGCUGAUGAUAGAAAAUGUGUUUAUGCUAUGUGGUGCACCAGUUGCUUAGAGCUCAUGAAAAGAACCAGUUGUAGCUCUGUCAUCAUGUGAUACUGAUUACAUAGUUGCCUUUCUUUGUGCAUGUCAAGCAACAUGAAUGGUAAAUUUGAUCGAAGAGAUUAUAGGUCAAAAUCAUGAAGCAGUAAUCAUGAAGAUUGAUAACAUUUCUGCUAUAAAUUUGUCCAAGAACCCAAUAUGAUACGGAAGAAGAAAACACAAUGAGAUGAGGUUCCAUUAUCUUAGAGAGAAAGUAUCAAAUAUGAAAUUUGGUUUCUCAUAGGACAGAUGUUGGACACGGUGUUGGGACAAUUGAUCCAACUUGUUAAAACCAUUAAGACAGUAAUAUAAUAGAAACAGUAACACGAAUUGAGAAUUUCAAAAACAGAGAUCCAAGUAUAUCCAACUUGUUAAAACCAUUAAGACAGUAAUAUAAUAGAAACAGUAACACGAAUUGAGAAUUUCAAAAACAGAGAUCCAAGUAUAAAAAAAUACGAAAAAAUCAUGUGAAACCUAAAUGGAAGAAAGCGUAUGAAUAACUAGGGAUGGAGCCAGGAAUUCUAAAUAGUGUGGCCAAAUUUAUAAAUUUAUUAUGAGAAAAGUAUAAUAUAUUAUUUAUAAAGAAAUAUUAUUUUUUUUUAAAAAUUUUUUUAAUGAUUUAAAAUUAUUAAUGGUUUCUUAAUUUUCUACUUAUAAUUAUAUAACAUAUUUUAUCCUCACCAAUCAAUUGAUAGUUCAUAGAUUAUUAAUUUUUCUUUAAUCUAAAAAUAUAGAAUUAAAAAGAUAAGAUAAUAAUAUCCAGACUAUUAAAGUUUUUUAUCAAAAAUAGUAGAGACUAUUUUGGACUAAAAUUUGAAAUGAACUAAGUAUUUAAUGCAAUAUACACCAUCAUUACUAUUACCACAUGAGUAGUAUAUUAUAAUGAAAUUUUUAUUUAUAGUGGGGCAUAGACCUACAUAGUUGUGUAUGUAGCUCCGUCUCUCUGAAUAACAUGUUUAUCUUUUAGAAAAAGAAGAAAAAAACAACGUUUAAAUACUUAGAUAAAGAAGAAACAACGUUUAAUUUGAUUACCUUUUAGGACAAAGAAGAAGAAAGACGAGUUGUAUGGAAGAAGAAGAGAGACGAUUUCGCAGGAUGUGGAAGAGAGAGAGAGAGAGAUAUUAGGGUUUUGUAAUUUGAGCGAGAGGACUGAAAUUUGAAAACUUUGCUUAUAUAUAUAUAAAACUUAUCACCGUCGUUGGCAAGAAAAACCGUGAUAAACUGUCAGUACUAUCCACAAUGGUUUCUGGUACUAACCAGGGUGAUAGAUAUUUUAAUUUUAAUAUAUUUAUAAGACCAUAUGGACAAACUCUUUUUGUAACGAUAAGAAAAUUGUUUGUGCUGGGAUUCGAAGCAUGUAACCUUUCAUCUAUAACCACGGUUGCUAUUAUGAACCAUGAAGAAAUGUCUUUUAAUAAAAUAUAAAAAAAAAAUUAGGUGCGUUAAGAUAAGUUAUUAUAACGGUUGCUUAAACGGCCUUGGUAAUAUGGUGGAAAGAAAGGUAUAUUUUGUAGUUGUGUAUUUUCCCACGGUGGAUGCUACUUGUUGUAAAAUUGAAAGGUUCAAUCACACCAUGAUUUUUUGUUGAAAAAAUCUAACAAUAAUAUUAAUAACGUGAUAAAUAUUGAUGUGUGGGACAAAGAACAAUGAAAAAUAAAAAUAAAUAUCCUCAAAAAAAAAAAUCACCUGCCAAACAAUGAAGGAAAAUCCACAAUAAACAAGAGAAAAUUAAAAUACUAGUAAAAAUAAUUCGUCCUAAUAAUUUUUUUUAAUGCAUUAGGCAUUUCAUUAUACUUAACAAAAAUUUAAAUAGCACAAUAAUAUUAAAUAUUGUUAAUAGAAUAUAAAAAAAGCCAAUAUCACAUGGAUCAUAUAUAAACCAUUCCACUUCUUCAUAACAGUGAAUUUUUUUUAACUAACAAUAGAUAAGUAGAAUGCCAAUAUAUUUCACUUUUUUUCUAAUCAACUUCACGGAAUCCAGGACAAUGAUAUUCAAAAUACUGAAAUAAGACUCAAAGGGAUUGGGCACCUAGAAGUAUUGGCCAUAUUCCUCUAAACUUUUCUUCUCUUUUCUGCAAAAUGAUUUUGUCCACAAUUAAAACAUAAAUAUCACACAUGCCAUGUAUUGAGACGCAUGCAGGAUUAACACCAAACAACUACUCAAAAGGAUGCUAAAGUCUACAAAAACUACACUUAAUUUCUCAAAUGGUGAUGUAACCUAAUAACACUUUGCAAGCUAUAAUAUAAAGAAUGUGACCUGCACAUAUAACUCAUACUUGCUAAUAAAAUAGGGUAAAUAAAAAAGGCAUAAUAAUGCAUAAUGAAAUUGAAAGAGAAUUGUUACUUCAAUAAACAGAAAAUGCUAAAUGGUGUUUCUUACUGCAAAAACUCAAUUCGUCAACUAUUAUUCCUUGAGCGACCAAACAUAACUGUAAGACCCUAAUUUUGACCCUAAGAUCCCUCAUGGCAUCAUAUCAUUGCACAUUGCAUUUUCCUCAAGGAUCAUAGCAUCUUGGCUCCUUAACCCUAGGGUUGGGACUUAUGUGAGUUGGUUAGAGACCACCAAGCAUGCUUGCAUUGUAUAUUAUUGCUUUUCUCAUUUUGUUUACUAACCAAAAGGUGUUUUUAUACAAUGAUUGAAACAAUCAAAACAUCGAACUCGUUAGUACUGAUUCAAGGCUCCUAGGAGGCCCCUAUGCUCAAAGAAUGGCCAGAUGAAGUUGAAAGCAAGCAUGAAAAUGGUUCAAAAAGCUCUCAAUCAUCAUACAUGCCUCCCAAGUAUCUCAAUUUGUCAAUUUGAUCAAGAUAAACCAAAUAGCUUGAGGAUUGUUUCCCAAGGAAACCCUAAUUCAACUGUGCAUUGACUGUGCCUUGCUCAUGAAGCAACCUCAACCCAUGAUCAAAUACAAUAAAGGUAAGCUCUUUCAUUCAUCAUUUUAUGCAUAUAUGAACUCAUGUGAGUGUCUUCAAUCAUCCAUUCAUCAAGAUUUGAAGUUUGGACUUGAGAAGUUGAUCGGUCAAUUCAUCGACUAUUUUGAAAUCCACUAAGACCUAACUUUUGAUGUGUUUGUCAAAUGAAGAUGACCCCAAGAUAAAAUAUGUUUUUAAGGACCAUAUGAACAACUUUAAUGUUCAUCAAAAAUUGAUUUGAAACUUGGAAGGUCAUCAUUCAUUUCAAAACAUUAUAGGUCAUUUUGACUGAAAUCCUAAUUUUGGGUCAACUUCCCAAGGACCUAACUCACUCAUUUUUAAUGCUUUUUAGGUGGGAUCAAAUGCAUUAGAAACUUUAAGAUGUCUAAUUCAAUUGUUAUGUUGGACAAAUUUUCAUAAUCCUAAAAUAAACACAUGUGAUAAUGCAAAACAUUAUAGGUCACUUUGGACCAAAGUCAUUGAAAUGUAAAAAAGUCCAACAUUAAGUGCCCAUAACUUUCUCAUAAAAAAUCCAAAUGAUGCAAACUUUAAGUCCAAAUUGAUUGUCUUGAAAAUAUAUACAACUUUAAUGUUUAAGGUUUUGUCAUUUGAGGCUUGCAUCAUUGAAACAUAAGGGCUUGAAGUUGGUCCAUUUUGGCAAAAUUCACAUACACAUGUUUUGCACCUUGAACUUCAUGAUCAGUUUUCAUAAAUUUCCCAACUCCAAAUUGAUUUUUGUUCAAAUAACAUUUGUUCCUCAUGUCAAUACCUUUCCAACCAUUACCCACAUGGCUAUGUUUCAAUUUGGCAAAGUGCAUUUUCGAAGAGGAGAAGAUUUAUGUUCAUUUAUGGAAACAAUGUUAAUACUUAGUGCGCACUCCAUUGCAAUGCCAUGUACACAUCCAAAACACUCCAAUUACACUUCAACUUGCAUUUGCCAUCAAGUUUGGGCCUCCCAUGCGCCUGUACAGGCCCAUGCAUGGAGGCCCUUAUUCCACAUGCACACGAGUUUGCCAUUGCUUGCAUCAGCUUUCACUAUAAAUACAGAUGCUUGGCUUCAUUCAAUUCCAACCUUAAGUUGCUUGCAUCAGCUUUCACUAUAAAUACAGAUGCUUGGCUUCAUUCAAUUCCAACCUUAAGGCGCCUAACACUCUGUAGAAUUGAAAUCCUACCCUUCACUCAAAGGAAUUUUGAAUUUUCUUCUUCAAUUUUUCAGUUCAAUUUUCAACUUCCUUGGUUGAUCAUUGAGCUUCAAUUCUUAAGCCUAGCUACUUUGCCAUCUCAAGAUCACAUUGCAUCAAAGAAUUGGAAGAGAUCGUGCCUUGUAAAGUUGCACUUCAAAGGUUGUUGUUCAAACUUUUUUGAUUCGAAACUCCCUGGAUAUUGCUCAUUUCUUGUGUUUGUUGGUUCCUCUGAAGUCCUCAUAUGAGAGGCAAUUGAUCUGUGCAUUCAAUUUCAUGAAUUGAUCAAGUUCGGUUUGAACACCAUGAAUUUCUAUCUCAGAUUUCUCCUUCUAUGAGAGUCUAGAGUAGAAACCAAUGGCACAAGGGUGAUGUACAUCACCCCAGCUUUCCAAUGAUUUGAGGAUCGUGCGUUUUGGUGAGGUUUUUAAAACCUGCAACUCUUGCCGGAGCUGGCUUGCUCGCCGGAGAAGACGGUGGUGUACACCACCGUCCCCCAUGCCAGAUUGCAUAUAGACCAUUGAAUGUUGUUUCUAGAUUGAAUCACAACCAUGCAAUGUUUCCAGAAGACGGUGAGGUUUUUGUGCAAACAUUAACAUUGUUUUCAAAAUUAGAAACCUAAGCACUAUGCUUUUGAUUUUUCAAACUCUUUUCAUAACACUUAUUUUGAAUUGAAUCCUUAAGUCAACUUUGACCUUACUUUGUGAAUACUUUUCAUUUGUAAAUACAACUCACUUAAUUGUUUUGUGCCUUCAAUGGCCACUUUUGCCAAAGCUUUUCAUAAACAUUAGCUAUUAGGUUUGAGUUAUCCUAGAGGUUGAUAUAAUACUCACCUAUAUCCUUAGUGAUGGAUUAUAAGUCUUCCAUGCUUAUUAUAGGGUUAACCCCUCACUAGCAUGUUGAAGCUCUCCUCACAUGGUGGAUUUGUGGUUUUAGGUUGAGUUUUCUCCCUUUGAUAACAAAAGACCUUAAGGCUUUUGACCAAUCAAUUCACCAACUUAUUUUGAGAUUUUUACCCCGAACUACGAGGUUUUGAUCCUACCUUUGUGAUGGUACGUAGGCAAUGGGUUUAUCCAUUCAAACAACAAAAUUGUAAAUAAUUUGUAUAUUCUUUUCUCAUCUCCCCAAUCAUGUUUGCACAAAUAUUUUCACAAAUACCAACCUACCUUACAACAUUUGUAAAAAGGGCUCCCUUAGAGUACUAAGGAUGUUUUGGGUGCUUAAAACCUUCCCAUUGCAUAACCAACCCCCUUACCCAGAUCUCUGACAUUUUUAUUAGUUUUUGAUUUGAUAAAACUUCUCGGUUUUUGUUCGCUUUCUAACCUUUCCUUUGGAUAAAUAGAAGUGCGGUGGCGACUCGAAUUGUAUGAUUUACUUUUGAUUUAGUCAAUAAAUAUAAAGGUAACGAAUACCCCGCUACAGAAAAGUGGCGACUCUGCUGGGGAUUUUUGCCUAGUGGGUUUUGCCUACUUUUCACUUUUGUUGUAUUGUAUUGUAUAUUACUUGUGACAUAUUUUUGUGCAAAUUUGGGAUUACUGUAUUGUAUGUAAUGUAUGAAUUGCUUAAAUAUUAAUUGCUUGUGUGCUUGGUGAUCUCUUGUGAGAUGAGUUCUAUACCCGAACUCGAGUGCACUUAUGAUAGGAGAAUGGCAUAGUCUUGUUGGCUUGUGUGGAGUUAUUCCUUACAAAGUUGACUUGCAAGCCCAUUCACUUGGUGGAGGUUAUGUUGGGAUCAAUAAUGUCACACGAGUAGUCGUGGUUAGACAUUACCCUUUCCAAUAUAUGCCUUAGAAGCCAAGGACCUUAGUUUACCAAACCCAUCUUGGCCUAUUUUUAGGAUGUAGUGCGAAGGUCGUUCAAGUGUAAGAUUUGAUAUGAUUGUUACGCAAUACUACACUCAUAAGAGUCUCUCUUGAGAAUAUUUUUGGAAUACGAGUAGUCGUUUAUCCGAUAGUAUCCGAAAGAUGGGAUGAUGACUAUGGGAACCUCUUGUAGAACAUGAUUGUCAGGUUUAACCAUAGUACACUCCCUUUGGGUGGUUCUUAACCNNNNNNNNNNNNNNNNNNNNNNNNNNNNNNNNNNNNNNNNNNNNNNNNNNNNNNNNNNNNNNNNNNNNNNNNNNNNNNNNNNNNNNNNNNNNNNNNNNNNNNNNNNNNNNNNNNNNNNNNNNNNNNNNNNNNNNNNNNNNNNNNNNNNNNNNNNNNNNNNNNNNNNNNNNNNNNNNNNNNNNNNNNNNNNNNNNNNNNNNNNNNNNNNNNNNNNNNNNNNNNNNNNNNNNNNNNNNNNNNNNNNNNNNNNNNNNNNNNNNNNNNNNNNNNNNNNNNNNNNNNNNNNNNNNNNNNNNNNNNNNNNNNNNNNNNNNNNNNNNNNNNNNNNNNNNNNNNNNNNNNNNNNNNNNNNNNNNNNNNNNNNNNNNNNNNNNNNNNNNNNNNNNNNNNNNNNNNNNNNNNNNNNNNNNNNNNNNNNNNNNNNNNNNNNNNNNNNNNNNNNNNNNNNNNNNNNNNNNNNNNNNNNNNNNNNNNNNNNNNNNNNNNNNNNNNNNNNNNNNNNNNNNNNNNNNNNNNNNNNNNNNNNNNNNNNNNNNNNNNNNNNNNNNNNNNNNNNNNNNNNNNNNNNNNNNNNNNNNNNNNNNNNNNNNNNNNNNNNNNNNNNNNNNNNNNNNNNNNNNNNNNNNNNNNNNNNNNNNNNNNNNNNNNNNNNNNNNNNNNNNNNNNNNNNNNNNNNNNNNNNNNNNNNNNNNNNNNNNNNNNNNNNNNNNNNNNNNNNNNNNNNNNNNNNNNNNNNNNNNNNNNNNNNNNNNNNNNNNNNNNNNNNNNNNNNNNNNNNNNNNNNNNNNNNNNNNNNNNNNNNNNNNNNNNNNNNNNNNNNNNNNNNNNNNNNNNNNNNNNNNNNNNNNNNNNNNNNNNNNNNNNNNNNNNNNNNNNNNNNNNNNNNNNNNNNNNNNNNNNNNNNNNNNNNNNNNNNNNNNNNNNNNNNNNNNNNNNNNNNNNNNNNNNNNNNNNNNNNNNNNNNNNNNNNNNNNNNNNNNNNNNNNNNNNNNNNNNNNNNNNNNNNNNNNNNNNNNNNNNNNNNNNNNNNNNNNNNNNNNNNNNNNNNNNNNNNNNNNNNNNNNNNNNNNNNNNNNNNNNNNNNNNNNNNNNNNNNNNNNNNNNNNNNNNNNNNNNNNNNNNNNNNNNNNNNNNNNNNNNNNNNNNNNNNNNNNNNNNNNNNNNNNNNNNNNNNNNNNNNNNNNNNNNNNNNNNNNNNNNNNNNNNNNNNNNNNNNNNNNNNNNNNNNNNNNNNNNNNNNNNNNNNNNNNNNNNNNNNNNNNNNNNNNNNNNNNNNNNNNNNNNNNNNNNNNNNNNNNNNNNNNNNNNNNNNNNNNNNNNNNNNNNNNNNNNNNNNNNNNNNNNNNNNNNNNNNNNNNNNNNNNNNNNNNNNNNNNNNNNNNNNNNNNNNNNNNNNNNNNNNNNNNNNNNNNNNNNNNNNNNNNNNNNNNNNNNNNNNNNNNNNNNNNNNNNNNNNNNNNNNNNNNNNNNNNNNNNGCUAUUAGGAUUUUCUCUACUCUUAAUCCCGUUCCUACUCUGUUGGGUGACACUUACUUUUCUUUGCAUAUGAGGAAUGCAAACGGUGGUGGUACCAUUCUGUGUUGUUUGCCUCUGUUGUACAAGUGGUUUAUUUCGCACUUGCCACAGACGCUCGCCUUCAAGGAGAACAAAGGAUGUCUACGGUGGUCCACGAGACUUAUAUCUCUCACUAAUGAUGAUAUAACCGUGUAUAUGAUGGUGUGCAGAUUAUUGACUCUUGUGGUGAAUUCUCCAAUGUGCCUCUUCUUGGUACAUGUGGUGGGAUUAACUAAAACCCUAUUUUGGCACGUCGUCAGCUUGGUUUCCCCUUAAAGGACAAACCUAAUAACAUUUUGUUAGAGGGUGUGUUCUUUCAAGAGGGUAAAGAUCCUCAAAACUUGAAGGGCAUGAUGGUCCGCGCUUGGCGCAAGAUUCAUAGGAAGGGAAGGAAAUAGCUUGGUCUGAAGAAUUGUAUUACUUUGGAACCCUAUACCUCGUGGGUUAGGAGGAGAGCUUCUGAGUACCGCAUGCCUUAUGACUACCCAAGACCUACACCUAUGGUUAUGGCUGGGCCUUCAACCCUCCCUAACCAAGGAGUAGAGGAGUUGAGAGAUGAAGAUCAUUCGCGUGCUUGGGUCCGUGAGCGAGAGGAGCUACUUCAGUAGCUUAGAGAUAAGGAUGCGUUGAUAGAGUUUCUGGAGCAGCAGAUUAUCGACGAGCCUGAUGAUGUGGUGACUUCUCUUAUUCCUCAGUCUUCCAGGUUUUGGAAGAGGAAGUAUGACCGGCUUACCAAGGAGAAGGCAGAUAUGGAGGCAGCCUAUGAGAGAGAGGUGAAGAGGCUUCGUGCAACUUAUCUUCCGGUCUCGAGAGCUUUGGACGAUUGUUUCUAGGGUUCCAUAGGAUGUUCAUUUUCCUUCUCUCUUGUAUUGUAUUUGGUUACCAAGACUGUACUUCUUUGGUGUAAAUUUUUUCCAGAUAUUAUUGAUAUGAUUUUUCCAUAUAUGUCUAAAUGAUUAAUAUUUCCAAAUAUUCGCAAAUAGAGCUCUAAAAGUUCCUCUGAUAAAAAAUUCAAAUCAUAUGCACAAGCAUUGCAUGCAUCAUGUGCAUAAGCAAGUUUUGUUCAAGGGCUUCUUGUUCAGUGGUCUAACUCUGUGUUCUUCAUUUAUUUUGAAGACAAGCUGACGCACCGGUACUACACCAGAGCCAAUACAUCAAAGCUAAUGGAUCACCUAGAGCAAGAGAACAGAGAACUGAAGGAGGAAGUGGCAAGAUUCACUGCCCUGAUGGAGUCCUUCUUGGCCGCCCAAAGCCAGUCUUCUCCAACACCUUCAACUCCUCCCUAGAGGACGGUCAUUUCUGAGAUCGCUGCCUCUACCGUGCCUGCUGCCAGUGCCCAUUUUGCGCCUACUGCUAUGCCAGCCAGGUUUCCCUGGGGGAUGCCUCCCAACUUUGUUCCAAAGGGUCUCGCCCCAACUUUUGCUUCUCCGCCGGCAUCUAGCCCGGUCCUUACUGUGCCACCUCCAGUCGUGCAUACUUUGCCGAGAGUAGAUGACACCAUUUACCACUCUGAGCCAUCUGAGGACCCAGAUGUCUAUGAGAAAAUGGACGCUAUGAAUGAUCAAUUCCUUGAGCUGCGCAAGGAACUCAAAAAUCUCAGAGGGAAUGACCUCUUUGGCAAAUCUGUUGCUGAGCUUUGUCUCGUACCUAAUGUCAAGAUUCCUGUCAAAUUCAAAGUGCCUGACUUUGAAAAGUACAAAGGACACACUUGUCCGCUCAGCCAUCUUGUGAUGUAUGCACACAAGAUAUCAACUCAGACCGACAAUGAUCAACUCCUUAUCCAUUACUUCCAGGACAGCCUGUCUGGUGCCGCUUUGAGAUGGUACAUGGGUUUGGACAACGCAAACAUCCGCUCCUUCAACGACCUUGGCAAAGCCUUUGUCAAGCAAUACAAAUACAACGUUGAUAUGGAUCCCGAUAGGGACCAACUGAGGGCCAUGUCCCAGAAGGAGAAAUAAACUUUUAAGGAGUAUGCCCAGAAGUGGCGAGAAUUGGCUGCACAGAUUGUGCCUCCGCUAGAAGAGAAGGAGAUGACCAAGAUCUUUUUGAAGACCUUGAGUUCAUUUUAUUAUGAGCGGAUGAUUGCUAGCGCUCCUUCUGAUUUCAUCGAGAUGGUGAACAUGGGGAUGCAUCUAGAUGAAGGAGUCAGGGAAGGGCGCCUGACCAGAGAAGAAGUCUCUUCUGCCAAAUGUUAUGGGGCAUUUGCGAAGAAGAAAGAUGGUGAGGCACAUGUUGUGUCCUCCCAUGGCAAAUCAAGAAGACCCUUUGUGAAGAGGAAGACUGUGCGUCCAGCCAGUAACCAGCACCAGGUGGCUCAUAUAGCACCUGCAUUCAGAGAAAACCAGCAUUCUCAGCAUCAGAACCAGCAACAACAACAUCAACAGUAUCAGCAACAACAGUAUCGUCCUCAACAGUAGGCCUACCAGCCUCGAAACAACAAUCAAACCAGCACGAGCUAUGAUAGGAAGAGGGUCAAUUUCGAUCCUAUUCCAAUGACCUAUGCGAGCUUUAUCCUUCAUUAAUUGAAAGGAAGUUGAUUACUCCACGUGACCCACCUGAUAUACCUACCAACCCUCAGUGGUGGUAUAAGCUUGAGCUUCAUUGUGUUUAUCAUUCCGGCGCUCCCGGACAUGAUGUGGAGAACUGUUACCCUCUCAAGACCAAGGUUCAAGACCUUGUUAGAAGUGGUAUCUUGUUUUUCGAGGACGUAGGUACUAACGUCAAGAAGAACCCAUUGCCCGAGCAUGGGAAAUCUGUUGUUAAUAUGGUUCAGCGUUGCCCUGGCAAAUACAAGGUCCAAUAUGUCAGCCAUAUCCGACAAUCUCUGGUCGAGAUGCAUAGACUGUUAUGUGGAUACAGUCACUACGAGCAUGACCAUAACAGUUGCCGUGUUUGCACUGUCAAUGAGAGAGGAUGUCGUCGAGUCAGAAAAGACAUCCAAGAAAUGCUGGAUCAGGGUGUAAUUGAGAUACUUCAGAAUCGUGAUGAGGACGAAGUGAAUGUGAUAUCACCUAUAUUCAGGAUACCUGACCCUGUUGUUGUCAGAUAUGAUGGCAGCAAGCAGAAGGCUUCUCCCUCUCUGAUUAUUAAGCCAGCUGGCCCUGUUCCGUACUCUUUCGAAAAAGUUGUUCCCUAUCGUUAUAAUGCGGUUGAAUUGGAAGAUGGGAAGGAGGUGCCUAUACCCUCCACUUCUAUUGUGAAUAUUGCUGAUGUCAGUGGAUUGACCCGCAGUGGUCGUGUUUUCUCGGCGCCGCCGAAACCCCAGGCUAACACCAGAAGAGUUGAUACUGUUGAUAGUGUCGUUCGUCCUUUGGGGAAUUAUUCUGUUUCUACGAAUCCGGCACUUGUUGUUAACAGACCUGUCGUUGCUGCUAGAACUCCUAUCCCUGCUGGCCAGAAUGGUAUGAUGAAAGAGGAGUGUGAUGAGAUGAUGAGGCUCAUCAAGAGGAGUGAGUACAAUGUUGUAGAUCAGCUGCUAUGAACGCCUUCAAAGAUAUUUGUGUUGUCUUUGUUAAUGAACUUUGAGCCACACCGUGAAGCUUUGCAGAAGGUGUUGGACAUGGCGUACGUAGAUCAUGAUGUCACCAUAGAACAAUUUGAUAGCAUUGUUGCAAACAUUACUGCUUAUAACAACCUGAGCUUCUGUGAUGCUGAUCUUCCCGAGGAGGGAAAGAACCACAAUUUGGCACUUCACAUCUCUAUGAAUUGCAAGGACGAUGCCUUAUCUAACGUGCUGGUAGACACUGGAUCAUCGCUGAAUAUGUUGCCAAAAUCCACUUUGGCCAAACUUUCAUAUCAGGGGCCUCCCAUGAGGCAAAGUGGAGUGGUCGUGAAAGCUUCUGAUGGAUCCCACAAGACUGUGAUUGGCGAGGUUGAGCUCCCAAUCAUGAUUGGACCUAGUGAUUUCCAGAUCACUUUUCAGGUCAUGGAUAUCCACCCAUCAUAUAGCUUCUUGUUAGGCAGACCAUGGAUUCACGAGGCAGGCGCCGUGACAUCCACUCUACACCAAAAGUUGAAGUUCGUUAAGAACAAAAAGUUGGUGGUGGUAGGGGGAGAGAAGGCUCUCUUGGUUAGCCAUUUGUCUUCCUUUUCUUAUAUUGAUGUCGAGGAUGAGGUUGGGAUGUCGCUCCAAGCCUUGUCUAUUGUUGAGCCUUCUAAGAAAGGAACUUCUUCAUUUGCGUCCUACAAUAAUGCGAAGUUAGCCAUUGAACAUGGCACAACUACUGGUUUAGGACAAAUGAUUAAGCUGGAAGACAAUAAAUCUCGGGCUGGCAUAGGGUAUUCUUCAGGAACUUUCAACAAGCACGGUCUAUUUCAGAGUGGUGGUUUCAUCUACACGGUUGAAAACCAGGAAGCUGCUGCUAUUAUGGAAGAGGAUGCAGAGGAAGAUUCUGGCGACUUUGUCAUCCCUGGAGGAGUCUGCAAUAAUUGGGUCGCUGUUGAUGUUCCAACAGUUAUCCAUAAGUCCACGUAAUGUUCAUUUUUGUUUAAAAACCCUUCUCCCAUGCCAAAAGGAGAAGUGAUGACAUUGUUGGCCCAUAAAUACAAUGAUAUUCAUUCAAUAAAUUCAUGUUAAAUGUUUGUUUUUCCAAAUUAUUUUCACUUUUUACUUUUUGCAUGAAAUUGGUGAUCACCAAAAAACCCUAAAAAAAUAAAAUAAAAUCAAUCUUUUCAUCUGCAUAAUGAUUUGCUUUGUUUGAAUUCUAAAAUCUCUUUUAUAUCCAAAAUCAUUAUGCAGGUUGAUCAAACCCAUUGAACAUAUUGAUCCAACACCAUCUCCCAACUUUGAGUUCCCUGUAUUUGAGGCCGAAGAAGAUGAUGUUGAAGAGAUUCCUGAUGAGAUUACCCGUCUGCUUGAGCAUGAAGAGAAGAUCAUUCAGUCGCAUCUUGAGAAUCUGGAAACAGUCAACUUGGGGUCUGAGGAUUGUGUUCGUGAGGUGAAGAUUAGGGCACUCCUGGAAGAAUCUGUUAAGAAGGGAUUGAUUGAGUUGCUACGAGAAUAUGUCGACGUCUUUGCCUGGUCAUAUGAAGAUAUGUCUGGUCUAGAUACUGAUAUCGUGCAACAUUUCCUGCCUUUGAAGCCUGAGUGUAUGCCUGUGAAGCAGAAGCUCAGAAGAACUCAUCCUGAUAUGGCAGUGAAGAUUAAAGAAGAAGUUCAAGAAAAGCAAAAUUGAUGCGGGGUUUCUGGUGACUUCUACAUAUCCUCAAUGGGUUGGCCAAUAUUGUGCCCGUGCCUAAGAAAGAUGGAAAAGUCCGAAUGUGUGUGGACUAUAGAGACUUGAAUAAAGCUAGUCCGGAAGAUGAUUUUCCUCUACCACAUAUUGAUAUGUUGGUAGAUACAGCUAAAUUCAAUGUCUUCUCAUUUAUGGACUGAGGAUUUUCCGGAUAUAAUCAGAUCAAAAUGGCACCCGAGGAUAUGGAGAAGACAACAUUCAUCACACCUUGGGGAACAUUCUGUUAUCGAGUGAUGCCCUUCGGUUUGAAGAACGCCGGAGCCACGUAUCAACGAGCUAUGACUACCUUGUUUCAUGAUAUGAUGCACAAGGAGAUCGAGGUGUAUGUUGAUGAUAUGAUUAUGAAGUCGAAAACGGAAGUUGGACAUGUAGAGCACUUGUUAAAGCUUUUUCAGCGCCUGAGGAAGUAUAAGCUUCGUUAGAAUUCGAACAAGUGUACAUUUGGAGUCCGUUUCGGCAAAUUAUUGGGUUUUAUUGUCAGUGAAAGAGGUAUUGAAGUUGAUCCUGUCAAGGUCAGAGCAAUACAAGAGAUGCUUGCGCCCAAAACUGAGAAGCAAGUCUGAGGUUUUCUUGGCCGCUUGAAUUAUAUUUCCAAAUUUAUAUUUCACAUGACUGCCACAUGUGCGCGAAUAUUCAAGCUCCUCCGGAAAGAUCAGCGUCAUGGUUGGACCGAGGAUUGCCAAAAGGCCUUUGAUAGUAUCAAAGAGUAUCUGUCCGAGCCUCUGAUUCUGUCUCCGCCUGUGGAAGGGAGACCCUUGAUUAUGUAUCUGACUGUUCUUGAAGACUCUAUGGGUUGUGUAUUGGGUCAGCAAGAUGAAUGAGGGAAGAAGAAGUAUGUCAUUUACUAUCUGAGUAAGAAGUUAACUAAUUGUGAGUCUCGAUACUCAAUGCUUGAGAAAACUAGCUGUGCUUUGGCUUGGGCUGCUAAGCGCUUACGCCAGUAUAUGUUGAAUCAUACGACUUGGUUGAUAUCCAAAAUGGAUCCAAUCAAGUAUAUCUUUGAGAAGCCUGCUUUAACUAGGAGGAUUGCCCUGAAUCAUACGACUUGGUUGAUAUCCAAAAUGGAUCCAAUCAAGUAUAUCUUUGAGAAGCCUGCUUUAACUAGGAGGAUUGCCCGUUGGCAGAUGCUGUUGUCUGAGUAUGAUAUUGAGUAUCGAGCUUAGAAAGAUAUUUAAGGUAGUAUCUUGACUGAUCACUUGGCACAUCAACCAAUUGAGGAUUAUCAGUUAGUUCAGUAUGACUUCCCAAAUAAGGAGAUUCUGUAUUUGAAGAUGAAAUAUUGCGAUGAGCCUAUGCUCGAUGAAGGGCCAGAGCCUGGUUCUCGAUGGAGUAUGGCGUUUGAUGGCGCUGUAAAUCAGUAUGGAAAUGGUAUUGGGGCAGUGAUUAUUACUCCUCAGGGCACACAUUUUCCUUUUACAUCAAGGCUAACUUUCAAAUGCACGAAUAAUAUGGCAGAGUAUGAGGCCUGUAUUAUGGGAUUGGAAGAAUGUAUUGAUCUUAGGAUCAAACAUCUUGAUGUUUAUGGUGAUUCGGCCUUGUUGUUAAUCAGAUUAAGGGUGAAUGGGAGACGAAUCAGCCAGGCCUCAUCCCAUAUAGAGAUUAUGCGAGGAGGAUUUCAACUUUCUUUACUGAGGUUGACUUCCAUAAUAUUCCUCAAGAUGAGAAUCGGAUGGCAAAUGCGCUUGCUUCGAUGAUUGUGGUGAAAUUCUAGAAUGAAGUCCCCAAUAUCACUGUGAUGUGCUUGGAUAGACCAACUCAUGUAUUUGCAGUUGAAGAAGUAAAAGAUGAUAAGCCAUGGUAUUGUGAUAUCAAAUGUUUUCUUUAGAGUCAGAUUUACCCGCCUAGGGCAUCUGUUAAAGAUAAGAAGACUUUGAGGAGAUUGUCUGGAAGUUUCUACCUCAAUGGCGAUAUGCUUUAUAAGAGAAAUUUUGACAUGGUUCUGCUCAGAUGCGUGGAUAGACACGAAGCAGACCUGUUGAUGACUGAAGUCCAUGACGGUUCAUUUGGUACUCAUUCCAAUGGACAUGCCAUGGCUAAGAAGAUGUUAAGAGCAUGCUACUAUUGGCUGACAAUGGAGUCUGACUGCUGCAAGUAUGUAAAGAAAUGCCAUAAGUGUCAGAUUUAUGCGGAUAAGAUUCAUAUUCCCCUGAUACUUCUGAAUGUGAUUUCAUCACCAUGGCCUUUCUCUAUGUGGGAAAUUGACCUGAUUGGCAUGAUAGAGCCAAGAGCGUCCAACAGUCACAAAUUUAUUCUCGUAGCAAUUGAUUACUUCACCAAAUGGGUUGAAGCGACAUCGUAUGAAAACGUGACCAGGCAGGUGUUUGUGAAGUUUAUCAAGAAUCAAAUCAUAUGUCGUUAUGGUGUGCCAAAUAAGAUCAUUACUGAUAAUGGAUCUAACUUGAACAGCAAGAUGAUGAAAGAGCUGUGUAGUGAGUUCAAGAUUGCACAUUAUAAUUCUUCUCCUUAUAGACCCAAGAUGAAUGGGGUUGUUGAAGCUGCUAACAAGAACAUUAAGAAGGUUAUUUAGAAGAUGGUUGUUACGCACAAAGAUUGGCAUGAGAUGCUGCCAUUUGCUUUGCGUGGUUAGACAUUACUCUUUCCAAUAUAUGCCUUAGAAGCCAAGCACCUAAGUUUACCAAACCCAUCUUGGCCUAUUUUUAGGAUGUAGUGCGAAAGUCGUUCAAGUGUAAGAUUUGAUAUGAUUGUUACGCGAUACUACACUCAUAAGAGUCUCUCUUGAGAAUAUUUUUGGAAUACGAGUAGUCGUUUAUCCGAUAAUAUCCUAAGAUGGGAUGAUGACUAUGGAACUCCUUGUAGAACAUGAUUGUCAGGUUUAACCGUAGUACACUCCCUUUGGGUGGUUCUUAACCGAGACUCCAUGCUCGUGACUUGCAACAAACCCUUGAUUCAUGGUUGAUCCGUUCUUGUAUAUCCUUAAUAUCAGUGGAACUUGGGUGUUGAUAAGGUGUAAACCAUAAUCCACUAAAAUGGAUGAUUGAUAUUAAGGAUGACUUGGUCCAUCCCAUGACCUUUGUGUGGUGUGUUUUGCUUGAUCCUUGAGUGUGAUUGUUGCAUCCAUGCAUUCAUGCAUUCAUAUACAUCCAUAUCAUCAACAAUGAGAAAAUUUUCAAAGAACUUAAAAGGUCUAUUUGCAAAUUUUCAGACAUGGAUAAGCAAAGAAGGAAUACAGGGAAGUACAGUUUCAGACAACCCGACUUGAAAGAGUUAAGGAGUUUGACAUCCUAUGUAUUAGAUCCUUUGGAGUUCAAGGCUCGUCAUGCGAAGCUUCUGUCUAUUCUUGCUACUCAUGUGGAUGAAGGUCUGAUGAGUGUGUUGGUGCAGUUCUAUGAUCCCUUGUAUCGUUGCUUCACAUUUCCGGAUUUCCAGCUUUUGCCUUCGCUUGAGGAGUAUGCCUAUCUUGUGGGUAUACCUAUCUUAGAUCAUUUGUCGUUCAGUGGCUUGGAGAGAGUUCCUUCUUCUCAAAGAUUGCUGAUCUGUUGCAUAUAGAUGAAUUGUUGUUGGUGCUCAUAUGACCACCAAGAAUUCAAGGUCUCCCAUCUGAUUUCCUCAUUUCUCAAGCUACUAUGUUUGGGAAGGCCAUGAGUGAGGAUGCCUUUGAGGCCAUAUUUGUACUUCUCAUCAAUGGGCUAGUGUUAUUCCCCAACAUUGACAAUUUUGUGGAUGUGAACGCUAUUAGGAUUUUCUCUACUCUUAAUCCCGUUCCUACUCUGUUGGGUGACACUUACUUUUCUUGGCAUAUGAGGAAUGCAAAGGGUGGUGGUACCAUUGUGUGCUAUUUGCCUCUGUUGUACAAGUGGUUUAUUUCGCACUUGCCACAAACGCUCGCCUUCAAGGAGAACAAAGGAUGUCUACGGUGAUCCACGAGACUUAUGUCUCUCACUAAUGAUGAUAUAACCGUGUAUAUGAUAGUGUGCAGAUUAUUGACUCUUGUGGUGAAUUCUCCAAUGUGCCUCUUCUUGGUACAUGUGGUGGGAUUAACUAAAACCCUAUUUUGGCACCUCGUCAGCUUGGUUUCCCCUUAAAGGACAAACCUGAUAACAUUUUGUUAGAGGGUGUGUUAUUUCAAGAGGGUAAAGAUCCUCAAAACUUGAAGGGCAAGAUGGUCCGUGCUUGGCGCAAGAUUCAUAGGAAGGGAAGGAAAGAGCUUAGUCCGAAGAAUUGUAUUACUUUGGAACCCUAUACCUCGUGGGUUAGGAGGAGAGAUUCUGAGUACCGCAUGCCCUAUGACUACCCGAGACCUACACAUAUGGUUAUGGAUGGGCCUUCAACCCUCCCUAACCAAGGAGUAGAGGAGUUGAGAGAUGAAGACCAUUCGCGUGCUUGGGUCCGUGAGCGAGAGGAGCUACUUCAGCAGCUUAGAGAUAAGGAUGCGUUGAUAGAGUUUCUGGAGCAUCAGAUUAUCGACGAGCCUGAUGAUGUGGUGACUUCUCUUCUUCCUCAGUCUUCCAGGUUUUGGAAGAGGAAGUAUGACCGGCUUGCCAAGGAGAAGGCAGAUAUGGAGGCAGCCUAUGAGAGAGAGGUGAAGAGGCUUCGUGCAGCUUAUCUUCCGGUCUCGAGAGCUUUGGACGAUUGUUUCUAGGGUUCCAUAGGAUGUUCAUUUUUGAGGCAGCCUAUGAGAGAGAGGUGAAGAGGCUUCGUGCAGCUUAUCUUCCGGUCUCGAGAGCUUUGGACGAUUGUUUCUAGGGUUCCAUAGGAUGUUCAUUUUCCUUCUCUCUUGUAUUGUAUUUUGUUACCAAGACUGUACUUCUUGGGUGUAAAACUUUUCCAGAUAUUAUUGAUAUGAUUUUUCCAUAUAUGUCUAAAUGAUUAAUAUUUCCAAAUAUUUUCAAAUAGAGCUCUAAAAGUUCCUCUGAUAAAAAUUUCAAAUCAUAUGCACAAGCAUUGCAUGCAUCAUGUGCAUAAGCAAGUUUUAUUCCAGGGCUUCUUGUUCAGUGGUCUAACUCUGUGUUCUUCAUUUAUUUUGAAGACAAGCGUACGCACCUGUACUACACCAGAGCCAAUACAUCAAAGUUAAUGGAUCACCUAGAGCAAGAGAACAGAGAACUGAAGGAGGAAGUGGCAAGAUUGACUGCCCUGAUGGAGUCCUUCUUGGCCACCCAAAGCCAGUCUUCUCCAACACCUUCAACUCCUCCCCAUAGGACGGUCAUUUCUGAGAUCGCUGCCUCUACCGUGCCUGCUGCCAGGGCCCAUUUUGCGCCUACUGCUAUGCCAACCAGGUUUCCCUGGGGGAUGCCUCCCAACUUUGUUCCAGAGGGUCUCGCCCCAACUUUUGCUUCUCCGCCAGCAUCUAGCCCGGUCCUUACUGUGCCACCUCCAGUCGUGCAUACUUUGGCGAGAGUAGAUGACGCCAUUUACCACUCUGAGCCAUCUGAGGGCCCAGAUGUCUAUGAGAAAAUGGACGCUAUGAAUGAUCAAUUCCUUGAGCUGCGCAAGGAACUCAAAAAUCUCAGAGGGAAGGACCUCUUUGGCAAAUCUGUUGCUGAGCUUUGUCUCAUACCUAAUGUCAAGAUUCCUGUCAAAUUCAAAGUGCCUGACUUUGAAAAGUACAAAGGAAACACUUGUCCGCUCAGCCAUCUUGUGAUGUAUGCACACAAGAUGUCAACUCAGUCCGACAAUGAUCAACUCCUAAUCCAUUACUUCUAGGACAGCCUAUCCGGUGCCUCUUUGAGAUGGUACAUGGGUUUGGACAGCGCAAACAACCGCUCCUUCAACGACCUUAGAAAAGCCUUCGUCAAGCAAUACAAAUACAACAUUGAUAUGGCUCCCGAUAGGGACCAACUGAGGGCCAUGUCCCAAAAGGAGAAAGAAACUUUUAAGGAAUACGCUCAGAGGUGGGGAGAAUUGGCUGCACAGAUUAUGCCUCCGCUAGAAGAGAAGGAGAUGACCAAGAUCUUUCUGAAGACCUUGAGUUCAUUUUAUUAUGAGCGAAUGAUUGCUAGCGCUCCUUCUGAUUUCAUCGAGAUGGUGAACAUGGGUGUAGCACCUCAAGUUUGCACCUACAUUUUGUACAUACAUUUUCGUCAUUAGUUCAUUAACAUAACAUAGUCCACUGCAUAACAUUGCAUUGUCCUUUGCCCAAGUGCAAGAUCAUUAGUCAGGUUAGGUCAAACUGGUCAGGAGAUCAGUCAAUCAAGCAAGCAAGGGCAAUUUUCAUUGAGCCAAGGCCCUAGGGUUGGUCCAACAUGUUCACAUGACCUAGGGGUCCUUUUGAAGUGUUUUGGUCAAGGAUUGGAUGCUCAGAAGUCAUCAGUCAUGGCUCAGUUCACCAGAAACCCUAAAAAGUCAACUGUUGGUCAACUGUGCAUUUAAUCAGUGAUUGGAUGGUGAGAAUUGGUUUGAGAAGGCUCAUUCAUGUCCAUAUAAGCCUCAUAUAACAUGUCAAACAUCAUCAUGGAAGAAUUUGAAGCCAGACAAGAAAUUUCCAAAAAUAGAAAGUUGACCUGUAAUUGGAAUUUGCCAAAAAUGGAAAGUCUUGAUCCUCAAACUUACAUCAUGAUACAAGCUUCAAAUGAAUUUUUGCCCAACAUGAAAGUUGAAUAUCUUGUUCUCCCAUUUCCAAAAAGUCCAAGAACACUCAAUUCCCAUGUAUGGUUGGCAAGUCAUGAUCAAAUCAUUUUCAAAAAUUCUUGAACUUCAAAAGGCCAUAUCUCUCAAACCAUUUGGCCAAAUUUGGUGGGGUUUUUUCCAACAAGUCACAUUUGACCUCCUCUUUCCAAAUAUGUAACCAUCACUCACCAAAACAUCAUAGAUCAAAAUGGCAUUUUUGGACUUGCAUGAAUUAAUUUCAAGUGUAGUGAAAAUUUGACUUUUUAAAAUAAUCAUUUUCCAUCAAAUUGGCCAUUUGAAAUAGUUCAGAAAUUGCAUUUUGGACAUGUUAGAAGCCCAAUUUCGCAGCUGUUAGCACAUGGCCUUGUCAUUUGAGUGGAAUUGCACAAUUAGUCAAAACACCUUCAUUNNNNNNNNNNNNNNNNNNNNNNNNNNNNNNNNNNNNNNNNNNNNNNNNNNNNNNNNNNNNNNNNNNNNNNNNNNNNNNNNNNNNNNNNNNNNNNNNNNNNNNNNNNNNNNNNNUGUUUCAUCAACAUCCUUCCAUGGCAGAUAUUGGUUGCAGCUAGUAGCAAGAUUGUUGAGCCAAAAUUCCUUAGCCAUACACCAUCUAGAGCAUCGUGGUUCAUCUGUUUCAACCAUUUGAGGCCAAGUAACCACGAUCCAACUCAGCUCUUCAAAUCUGGUAUGUACUUCGAAUCUCUCAUUUAUUGAAAUGAUGCUAUCCUUUGUGUAGAUCUUGCCAUGCUUAUUGUUUUGAGCUUUGAACCAAGAAAAAUGGUUGAGUAUUUACAAAGUUAUGCUGAAUGGAAACUUGAUAUGUGAAUGAUGUUUUGCGUAGUUCUUCCAUUGCUAGCUCGAUUUCAUGAUUUUUGAUGUUAGGAUGUUGAUGAGGGUUGUUUAGUGGUUCGAUUGCUAUGCUUGAUUUCAUGUUCUGGGCAAAUUAAUUUUCCACGAUUGGUGAAGAAGAUGAUGAUAUGAACUGUAGCUUCACAAACCCUAAAAAAUAAACCCAGAAAUCGUGUUCUGCAUUUUGGCUUUUGUUUGCAUGAAAUUGCCACUGUUUUAUUGCCAUGAGCGAAUGGUUGCUUGCCACGUCUGGGAGUGCUGCGCACCGUUUCAUUAAAAGGUCUCAAUAAUUACCAAUAUGCCAUUGCCGGAUUAAUUCUUAUUUAAAUCAUAUUAUUUCUUCAAUAUUCAUUUCAUUUGUUACACCAAUUUGCAAAAAUCAUAUCUCAUCCAUUUGUGAUCCAAAUUUCAUAAAAUGUUUUGCAUUAUGCUCUGCUUGAUCUCUACUUAUUAAUCAUGAUUUUUCCUGAUUUUUUAGAUAAGUGAAUUUUAAAUGGUGCUAGGGUUUGUGACAUGUAUCCAUAUUUUGUACCUUUUACCAAAACACUUGUGAAAUGAUGAUGCAUUAUCCUAUGGCCUUGAAAUUUUUUAUUCUCAAACUAGACACAUUCAUGGUGAUUUUCGUGUAGAGUUUAGGAAUUUAUCAUCUCUGGUUGUUGAGUUAUGAUUUUUUGAAGCAGGGUGUGACAAUUUGUGUCACACCAUUGAUGUGCAACUUGAUGAUUUUCAAUACCAUGCCUCUGGACCUCAAAUUGGAUUGAAUUUUUGCAUGAAUGUACUUGAGUUACUCUAGUAUUACAUGUGAUGUUUCUUUCGAAAUUUACCAUUUCNNNNNNNNNNNNNNNNNNNNNNNNNNNNNNNNNNNNNNNNNNNNNNNNNNNNNNNNNNNNNNNNNNNNNNNNNNNNNNNNNNNNNNNNNNNNNNNNNNNNUAACGGUAGUAGAUAAUACAUCUCAUGCGCUCUUCAGUCAAAGCCUUUUUCUUCCCCAAUCGAGUAAGAUUCGUAUUUCCUUGUGGAAUCGAAUGGCCAUCCUGUAAGUCGAGUUUGCUUUUUCAGCCCUCCUUUCGGAUGAUGGGUGUCUUGGAUAUGUCCCAAUUCACGCCUGGUUGGUCACCUAUUAUAUACCCAGCAACCGGUAUCCCUGGUGUUCCUUCCUUCUGCUCCCUGUUAUGACUUUUUGUCCCCUGUGGAGUCAGAUUUUCCUGAGUUGAGAUGUGCCUUUUGGGUUCUCCUUAGAUGUUUCGGAUGAUUGGUAUCUUUCACCCUUUGAGUUUAUUAUCCAGUAACCUGUAAUAUCUCGUUGUUUCUUCCUCAGCUGAGUCCUUUAUGGACAUCCCCGUCUGAGUCCGGAUUUCAUCCGAUGUAUCCUUUUUGGAUAAUUUUGUUGUAUUGGCACAUUCCCCAAUACAUGCAUCUUUGUGUUAGCUCGAGUCUUUCCAUCAAUUUAUUUUCAUGGAACCCCUUCGCGUCUCCCAGCAAAUUUUCAAGUCGUGACCUUCUCACGCAUUUUUACCUUAUUUCCCCCCAGAGUCUCUGUCUCCCUAGUGAGUGUGUUACUCAUAUGGAUCUUCAGCGCCCCCGAUUUCUUUUUCUUUGUGGAAAUUAUUCACCACGAAGAUUUUUGUUUUGCAUACAUACAUUUGCAUCAUGAGGUCUCUUAGGGACCAAAAUUCGUCUCUUUGCUAUUAUUUAAGCUCAUUCUAUCUCGUCAAGAUGAAGAUUUAAACCUUCAUAUCUCUGGCUAGAACGAACUUAAAUAGGGGCAUCUGUAAGACCCUAAUUAUGACCCUAAGAUCCCUCAUGACAUCAUGUUAUUGUACAAGUGCAUUGUCUCAAGGAUCAUAGCAUGUUUGGCUCCUUAACCCUAGGGUUGGGACUUGUUUGAGUGUUUUGAGACCACCAAGCAUGCUUGUAUUGUAUAUUAUUGCUUUUCUUAUUUGAUUACUAACCAAAAUCACAAGAUUAUGUCACUAACUCUUUUUGUUUUGAAGCUCAAGUGAUCAUGUGCUCCACAAUUUCUAAGAGGCUCCUAAGCCCAAUGCAAUGGCUAGAUGAAGAUGAGAAAAAGCAUGAAAAUGGUCCACAAAGUUUCUAAUCAUCAUAUAUGUCUCCCAAGUAUCUCAAUUUUCCAAUUUGAUCAAGAUAACCCAAAGGGCUUGAAGAUUGUUUCCCAAGGAAACCCUAAUUUCACUGUGCUUUUAUUGUGCCUUGCCCAUGAAGCAAUCUCAACCUAUGAUCAAAUUUAAUCAAGGGAAGUUAUUUCAUUUAUCAUUUUAUGGAUAUAUGAUCCUAUUUUAGGCCCCUCAAUCAUUCAUUCAUCAAGAAUUGGAAGUUUUGCCUUGAAAAGUUGACCAGUCAAGUCAUCUAACUAAGCUGAGGUCCAAUGAGACAUAAUUUUUGAUAUGUUUGUCAAAUGAAGAUGACCCCAAGAGAAAAUAUGUUCCUAAGAACCAUAUGAACAAAUUUCAUGUUCAUCAAAAAUCCAUUUGAAACUUGGAAGGUCAUCAUUCAUUUCAAAAAAGUAUACAUCAUUUUGACUAAAACCCUAAUUUUGGGUCAAUUUACCAAGGACGUAACUUCCUUAAUUUUUAUGAUUUUGAAGUGAGACCAAAUGCAUUGGAAAUAUUGAGAUGUCUAAUUCAAAUUAUAUGUUGGAAAAAAUUUCAUAAUCCUUAAAUAAAUACAUGUGAUAAUGAAAAACAUUAUAGGUCAUCUUGGACCUAAUUCAUUGAAUUUGAAAAAGUACUCAACUUCAAGUGCCCAUAACUUUGUCAUAGAAAAUCCAAAUGAUGAAAACGUUCUGUCCUAAUUAUAAAUGCUUCAUUUGGAUUUGGUUUCUACCACCAUCACCACGUGUGCACUUUUGUGACCCUUGGAUUUGGUUUCCACGAUCUAAUCUCACACUUCCAUUUCAAUUACUUCAUUUAAUGCACGUUGUUGCGCGUUUGACUCAAGCCCAGCGUGUGUCCUUAGAUCUGGACCAUCCAUAAGCGCCACGUCAACUAAUGAAAUCCAUCAUGUGGUUGUGCAUUUUUCGUUUAUUCCAUUUUCUUUUUUAUUUUCUAUUAAUUCCUUUUAUUUUCAAAAUUUUAUAAAAAAUUUAUUUGAAGUCAUAAAAAUAUGAGACCAACUCCAAACUUUUUCUUGAAAAAUCUAGUUUCAUAUUAUGAUUUUUAAUUAUUUUUGUUACUUCAUCAGAUAUUUUUUAUGAAUUACUUGUUUUUUUAUUGGUUUUAAUUCAUUUUAAAAUACUUUCUGAAUUUUAAAAAAUCCAAAAAUAUUUUCAUAGCAUCUAUGGCCCAUGAUAAGUCAAUGAAAAAUAGUCUCAACAAUUUCUUAUUUGAUUUGAGAUUAUUUGAGAUUUUAAUUAAUAUUAUGCUAUUUUUAGUUGUUUUUAAUUGUUUUUAAUUACUUUCUGAUUUCAAAAAUAUGUGAGAAAAUUAGUCAAAGCUUGUUUGACUACGUUGAACCUAUGAGAAUUUAAUUGGACUUUUUGAAGUUGAUUUGAAUUGAAUUUGAGGUUCAACCUUAUUUGUUUAUUUUUAUUUGCAUUUUAUUUUAAUUCAAAAAAAUACAAAAAAAUAUUGUUGAUUUAUUGAUUUGUUAUCUUCAUUUCUCUUCUGUUUGGUGUUGAUUGAUGUUGAUUUGAUUCACAUUUGAUCAAUUGGAAUUGAUUGUUGUCUUCCUUUCCCCUCCCUUUCAUCUUCAUCCCUUUCUUUCCAUCAAUGGCCAAUGAGUUAAAGUCUUGAAGUUGGUCUUGACAAAUGAGAAGUUUAACCUUCUUUGAUCCAAACUAAACUCAACUUGAUCCAUGAUCAAGUGAGUUGUUUUGUGUCCAAGAAAGGUUGCUUCUUGGUCAAGCAAAUAACUAAAAGUCAAUACAAGGCCCUUCCCCUUUUGUUUGGCAUGGCAAGUUUAUGGAGCUUGGCUUACUAGUCAUGAUCUCUAACUUUUGUUCUUUGCCUAUAUUCUUAUUGACCGGCCUCAGAUAGGUGUGACUACUACAUUAGUUCACUUACGAUUGCUUAACAUAGCACUACAUUGUCUUAUGACAAGCUAACAUAACCACUAAAUACUAACUUUAAUUUGAGCUUUUAAUUUCUUGUCAUUUACUUUUAAUGUCAUUUAUUUUUUGCUCAUUAUUCAUAUUGAUUUUCAUCUUUGCUCACUUGAGCACAUACUUUAUGUUUAUGUCAUUUUUCCUUUGCUCAUUUGAGCCCAUUAUUGUAUACAAAUUUAUUGCUAUUUUGUGUUGUUUGUGUUUGUUUUGAUGUGGACCAAAUGAAAAAAGGAGAAAGGACUUAGAAUUAGGAUUUACCUAUGCUUAAAGGAGUUCAAGAGCAACUAGGUCUCAUGCCUUUAGAAUGCAAAAAUUUGUUGAAGAGCAACUAGGCCUCAUGCCUUUAGAAUGCUAAAACUCAAAGUUGACUUUAAAGGACUUCUCCUCCAAACUUAUUCUUUGUCCAUUCCCUUUAUUGUGUUGUGAACUUUUUGAUGUUUGCUUUUAUGUGAUAGGGAUCCCAUCUUAAGAUUGUGAAAAGAGGACCAUUGUCAUGACUAGCCAAGUUAAGAGCCAAGCAAAAUGGAGAUCCUAGGAGCUUGAAUUCAAUUUAUUGAUUGCUUGUUUGUGUGCUAAGUCCAAAGGAAAGGAGCAUCUUGAGUCAUCUCUAUGGCUUCAAGAAAAGCAACUCCAGGGGUUUUUAUUUCCACUCUUAUCUUUGUAUGCUUUAGGAAUAUCCCUUCUCUUCUUCUCCCCACUCUAACCAAGCCAAAAACCAUUUGCAAAACUUUGACCUUGUUUCAAAUUAGAAACCUAGGCCUUAAGCCUUUGACUUUUCAAAACUAUUUUCAUAAAUACUCAUUAUGAAUAAACUUUAAUCCAAACUUUGAAUUCAUUUUGUAAAUAAGUCUAACUUGUGAAUACAAUCCAUUUCAAGUUGUUUUGUGGUUCCAAUGGACACUUUCUAAAAUCUUUCAAAAACACUAGUCAUAGGUUUGAGUUAUCAUAGUGGUUGAUGUAAAUCUCACCUCAUCCUUAGUGUGGGAUUAUAAGUCUUCCAUGCUUAUUAUAGGGUUAAGCCCUCACUAGCAUGUUGAAGCCUUCCUCACAUGGUGGAUUGUUUGUUUAGGUUGAGUUUUCUCCCUUUGAUAACAAAAGUACGUAAGGCUUUUGAUUAAAAUCAAUUCACCCAUCUUUGAGAUUUUUACCCCGAACUACGAGGUUUUGAUCCUCCUUUGUGAUGGUACGUACGCAAUGGGUUCAUCCAUUCAAACAACAAAAUUUGUAAAUAUAAUCUAUUCUCUUCUCAUCCCCCCAAUCUUUUUGUACAAAUCUUUUCACAAAUACCAACCUACAACACAUAUUCGCAAGAAGAGGUUCCCUUAGAGUACUAAGGAUGCUUUGGGUGCUUAAAACCUUCCCAUUUCAUAACCAACCCCCUUACCUAAUUCUCUGACAUUUUUAUUAGUUUUUUAUUUGAAAAACUUCUUCUUUGGCUUUUGUUUGCUAUUUAGCCUUUCCUUUGGACAAAUAAAAGUGCGAAGGCGACUCGAAUUUUAUGUUGACUUUUGGUUUAGUCAAUAAACCUAAAGGUAACGAAAACCCCGCUACACAUCGGUAUCAUUAGAAACCUAGGCCCGGAUGUGUUUGAAUUCUUCAUUAACAGCCAACCAGUACACCUGUUUACCCUGCCAUACCCUAGGAUGGGUGUACAUGAUAGGAACAACUGACUCUAUGAUUUGGAUGGACAAUCACCCCAAAUCCAUGCUAACCCUGACAAUUAUCUCUCUGAUGCUGAAUCACAUGCCCCGGUUAUACCUGUUGCACCUCUCACCGAUCAUGCUACUGCCAUCGAAGUUGUUCAGACAGAUAUCGCCAAUCUGAGAGGCGAGUUGAGUACCCUCCGCGUGGAAUUCCACGGCUUUGUAGAUGUAGUAACAGAGAACCUGGAUCACAUUUACCAACAUUUCUACUCGUUCUCUCCUCCUACCAGGAGUCGCCAUAAUGGAUGAUUUACUAUAGAGUUAUCGAUUUACUGACUUUCAUUUUAUUUUAUUUUCAUGUUGGAAUUUUAUUGUUAUUUACUUCUACACAUUGGAAUUUAUUUAAUUACUUCAGUCCCUUUUAUUUCGGUAGACAAAUUUUUUCAUCUUUUCCCGUCUACCCGAUUCUUUUAUUCGUCAAUGUUGCGAUUAAAUUCCAUUCCAAUGUAGCAUGUUUAUUAUUCACAUACACUAUAUUAUUGGUAAAUUAAAAAUUGCAUGGUCAGAGAAAAAAUAAAAGCACACGCAUGGGAAACCACACUACAUGUGGCGCAUGCCACAGACAGUUGUGGCGCCCGCCACAGGGCCCUAGUGGCGCCUGCAACACGCAUGGGAAACCACACUACAUGUGGCGCAUGCCACAGACAGUUGUGGCGCCCGCCACAGGGCCCUAGUGGCGCCUGCCACACACACCAAAAGUGGCGUAGGCCACUACACAAGCCUGCACGCGCAGGCUGUGUACUUUAGUCCAUUCAACUCACCUUUAUUGUGAUGUUCCUUGCAUGCAGACAAUUUCUUAAUGCCAUUCAACCAAUUUCAAAACUCUUCGACCAAGGCAUUGACUAUGGUAAAUGCUAUUUAUUUACCAAUUAAUUUUCCAACCACCUUCACCUCUAUAUAAACCACCAACGUUACCUCAACAAUUCACAACUCUUAUUUACAUAUUUCUCUCCUCUCUUGCUCUAUUGUCACUCUAAUACACAAAGAGUGUGAAAUCCAUUAUGGCACAGAUGAGGGAAUACGAAAUAGUGUUCAGAAAUGGCGAGCCAGGCGAAUUACAAAAGGAGACGUACAUGUCUCUAAGCGCCAGAAAGAUCAAAUCAACAAGGUAUGCCGAUGAACAUUGUUUAUAUGCCUUAGGAAUUCAAGAUAAUGCUAACUCUAUGCUAUAUACGUUAAAUUUAAAUUAUUUUCUAUCUCUUAAGGACCCUGUCUAUGCUCAACUAACAUUAGAAUUCCUGAGUUCAUUAAUUUUUAGUCCCACACCCAACACAAACUUCUCUAAUGGGACUGUCCAGUUUCAUUUAUUUAACGUCGAAUAUGCCCUUACAUUUUCCCAACUGGCGGACCUGCUACAUUUCCCCCAUGGGGAUGACGUAGUAAGUGAGGUCCCAGAUACUGAGGGUUGACAACACGCUUUCCAACCAUUUUGGAGGGCACUAAUCGGUACAGUAACCCAUAGUUUUGAGGGAAACAGAGCCACUUUAAUUCAAAAUCCGACUAUUUGAUAUUUUCGCCAAAUAUUAGCGUGCACCAUUUUUGGCCGAGCAAAUUCUAACAAGGUGAACGAAAAAGAACUCUUCUAUUUGUUCGCCACAUUUUUGCCAUAAAAGGUGAAUAUCGUCCCGUUUAUGUUAUCUCACAUGCAAUCCAUUGUCAAUGCGAAGCGAGGGCUGAUUAUUUUUGGAGGUUUAAUAACCUCCCUAGCCAGAGUCCUAGGACUCGAAGAAAAAUUCUCCAGGCUAACCCCGCUCCCGCAUCAUGCAACUGACAUUGACAUGGCAAGGAGCAUGAAACUAGCAAAACGAAGGAGUGACGGUAGAUUUAAUUUAAUAAUUGCAAAUAAUGUCUUAAAAGAUUUCAUCCUCCCUAAUCCAAAUCGCACAGAUGUGCGUAACCCGGAUAAUUAUAUUUAUACAAAUGAUCUGGUGCCUAACCAAGUCCCCACGCACAUUCCUGAGAAUGUAGUUGCUGGCGGGGACACUGAUGAAGAUCAUAUUCCGAAGCAAACUACUCCUGCUACUGACCUACACACCACACACACUUUAUUUGAAAAUGUUGUAGGUACAUCUUCCAGUCAGAGACCAAGAAGAAAUGUGGCACCAGCCACUCUUGAUAAGAUCUAUGUUGAACUAUUGUGGCAUAGAGAAUUAGACGCUCAACGAGACCUAUAAAUCCAAACCAUGGGAGCUCAGCAAAUCCUUCUUCAAAUGCAGCAUGAUCAGCACGAAUAUGCCUUAAGGGUCGAACAAAACAUGUCUGGCUUGAUCGAUGAAAUAGCAACACUGAUAAUGCAUGUGGAAGAUCUCCAGAACUAUACGUCACCUCACAAGCCAGGGAAUGGUGGAUAUCCAUGUACACGUGGCAGAAGGCGUCAGUAGCAGAAUAAACCAGGUUCUACCAUUCUUUCCUAUCUUAUGUCAUUGCAUUGGGGACAAUGCAAGAUUUAAGUAUGGGGGAGGAAGCUUAACCGCUCUUUAUUUUACUGUUUUCUAGUUAGAUUUAUAUCAUUGCUAUUUCUUUUUGUUAUUUUAUAAUUUUUAUGGUUAUUUUAAUUUUUGUUAAAGUGUCAGUCGAGUUAAAUAUCAAUGUGUUGUCGAGUCUUUAUGCGUGAUUUCCAUUAUUUACUGAUUCUCUUGUUUACUUGAGCCAUACAAUUUUUUUUGCAAAAAUCUAGACUUAUAGAUACAGUGCAUCUUUUGAAAUAUCUGAACAAUAAAUCAAACUGAGGUUGAAUUGUAGAGAUUUGGAAAAGCUUUAUAAGAUUGGUAUCGCUUUAACACCUUAAAUAUCCCAAGUAUUAGAUCGAUUUGAGCACUUGUCAUGUCAUACCCUUAAAUUCUAUCAUUUAAUAUUUCCUUAAGUAGUUUAUCUAGCAGUCAGCACCAUCCUAAGCACACACUACACAAGAAGUCGAUGCAAAUAAGUGUAUGAUUUUCAGGCUUAAAAUAAGAAAAGAUUACAAAAUGUAUGAAAAACGUUGUUCCCUCUAAGUUAGGUGACCCUCACCCGGUCAUUUAGCUCAACGGUAUAACCAUUUUCAAAUGUUAUUUUAGCCAAAGUGCGAAAAAGAAAGAAAGAAAUAAUGAUGAGAUCAUAGUCACUAACAGACUAUCUUGCUAUGAAUGUGAAAGGAUAACGGGCUUAAUGUGAUUGCGCUAGAAUGAAAAAGGAUAAAAAUAAGGUUUAGUAAGGUAGGCUUAGGCAUGACAACAUGAUUCGGAUUGGUUUGUAUAGGAGGGAGACUUAUGGUUGCAACAUUGUGACUGAGUGUUCUAACGAUACCCUUAGUGUGGAAGUGAGUAAUAUAAAUUUGAAACAAAGUAAAGUUUAUAGACUAGAAUGAGUAUCCGAAUGCAACUAGGUUUUUUACGAGUCUUGAUAAUGUAUGUUGUAAAUAUUUUACAAAACUUUUUAUUCAUGUACGCGGCAUUUGCUUGAGGACAAACUAUAGUUUAAGUAUGGGGGAGUUUGAUAACGCGAAAAUGUAUUGUAUUUUUGGCUCUAUAUGCACUACUUUUUACUCGAUAAACACUAUUUAUUACACAAUAUUUUGUGUUUAUUUGCAGGUAUUUAUCGAUUAAAAGGUUUACCGCAAGAAAAAUGGAAUAUAGCAAAAAGGAAAGAAAAAGGCAAGAAAAGAGAAGAAAAUGAGGUUUCCAAUGGGAUAAUGGGCCACCAAAGAAAAUGGGCUUGUGGCUCCCAUUACCCAAAGGAUGUGGCGCCCGCCACAUUGGGCCAAAAUAAAGGUGGCGCCUGCCACCAACCCUUGAAAAGUGGUGGGCGGUUACUACAAGAGUGGCGCUCGCCACUCAUCAUGGAAUUAGGGUACCGCCACAUUGGGCCAAAAUAAAGGUGGCGCCUGCCACCAACCCUUGAAAAGUGGUGGGCGGUUACUACAAGAGUGGCGCUCGCCACUCAUCAUGGAAUUAGGGUUGUGGCAACCGCCACAACCGAGUCUCCCCAUUUUUCCUACUUUUUCUCCACCCUUUUAGCCACGGUUUCCACUACUAUUGCUACAAUUGAGGAAUAUGGAAUGGAUAUAAAAACGACCAUUCAGACUCUCUCUCCGGGGGGCUCUCCUCUUUUCUUCCAACUUUUAGUUUACGAUUAAUUUUUGUUCUGCUUUAUUUUUCUUUUAGUUUCUAGGCAGUUUCUUACCAUUGUAAAAGUGAUAGUUUUUCCCCAUCGGGGACUAUUACGGUUUAUUAUUUUUUUACGCAUUUUGGAUUCAAUUAUAAGGGGUAUUCAUUGCCAAAGCCUGCCGGAAUUAUUUAAUCGAAGAUUCAAGAUUGAAUUCCAGUUCUUAAAUUGCAAUCCAGGUUUAUUAUUAUUUAUUGUUCUAUUUAUUUAUGCCUUACUGUAUGUUUAAUUCCCCAAUUUCCAUGUCUGUCACCGGAUCUAUGUCCUGCUAAACCUUAGGUAUCGGUAUGUAAAGACCGUCGAAACAACGGGGUUUAAUAAAUAAUUGAUGUUAGUUUUUAUAAAACUAAUUUUUUUGGUUUUAGUUUCUUAUUUUAAUCAAACUAUUUUUCGUACAAGUGUACAAAACAAACUAAGGUUACGGUCAACAAGAACGAGAAUUUGAGGUUUUAACCAGAUAACUGAAACUAGGCAUAAAUCCUAAACACAACGAGAGUGCUUUAGGAUUAAUUAGACUUUAUCUAUAUUUAAAAAAUACUUUUAAAUUCAAAAUGAGACCGCGAGAGCCAAGCAUUCUGGUUUAGGAGUAUGGUUAGAGUCAAUAAAAACGAGAGUGUGAGACUAAGUCCUUUCUAAAAUAAAAUUCUACUGAAGAAUAUUUUAACCAAUAAGAUUACACCAACUAUCUAUCGAAUCCCCGAAGUUUGAUGUAUUACAUACCGAUAUCCCCUAUAUCUCAUAUCUUCAUCCUUAUUCUAUUUAUAUUAUAGUUAUUUCUCUUCAUCCCUCCAAUCUUAAGAACAAUCAUCAGCCUUAGAUUUACAUAGUAACAUUAUACCACGAUACGUUUGAUUAUUAGUCCUUGUGGGUUCGUAAUCUUUAAAACUACGCGAUAGGACUGUGCACUUGCAGUUAUAAUUCACAUAGACUUACUAAGUCGCGAUCAAGUUUAAAGUCAAGACACCAAGGUCUUAGAUAGUAUUAUUUGUUAUAAUAAUGUCUACAUUAAUGGUUAUUUUGUGCAAUUUUGAUUUUGAUGUAAUAUAGAAUUUUUAGUUCCUAAUGGAAUUGUGUCAUUGAUGUAAUACAAUUGUUUGUCUAAUUCAAUUCAAAAAUAGUUGUAUUGUAUUUCUAGUCUGAUAUGAUUCAAAAAUAUUUAGGUUUAAAAUUUGAUAAUAUUGUAAAAUUGAAAAAUAUAUAUAAAAAAACAAAUUAUAUCCAAUGGGUUUUUGUUCUUGCUAAAAACACUAAAAGAUUGACUUCCCCGAUGCUAGUCAAGGAGAGCCUUAAAUAAUUGUUUAAGUGUCUGUAAAUGUUUUUCUUAGGUAGUUCUUGUCCCCAUUUCCUUGUUUCUUGAUGUCCUUUAUAUAGGCUAUUUCCUCACCCUCAACAACCAUAAAGAGCAUUUUCCCCUUUCUUCCUGUAUUCAAAGCCUAGAAAUCGUUGUCGCUUUAUCAUUCAAUUUCACUUCUUAAUGACUUGUAAGACAUGUCUCAUUAUGGAGUCGUUAUGACUUUUCACUUACUGAAAUUGUUUCUAGAUGGUGUCACUUCGUCCAACCAUUAUCUUGGCUUAUCCGGGUAAAAAACCUGACGACACAAGACUCUCUACCUCGCCCCAUCAGGAUCCUCAACCCGAAAAUAUGAUGACUACUCAAGUCGGGCUAUGUCUCGGGUAUCCCUUAGGAAAGUCCAUGUAUUAGCUCUGACUAUUACCCGACUUUGACCCGAACCAUUCCUACUUCAUCACUGACUUCUUUCGGUUUUACACAUCGACUGGUCAACAUAAUAUUUUGACAUGUACAAUUUUUAACUCAACCGUUGCUAUAAGUAUAGCGUGUUAUCCAGAAUAAUAAAAGGCAAGAAUGGCGAGGCUGGAAUUCGAACCAAGGACCUAUAAAUUAUUUCACAACGGUUAAUUGAAUAAACUGUUUUUAUAAGUAGUGUUCUACUAUAAGACCCCAAUUUUGACCCUACGAUCCCUCAUGUAAUUUCAUCAUAUGCAUUAGCAUUGGGAUCAUACCUUGGCAUCCUCCUUACCCCUCUUUCAUUGGGUUUAUUUUGGGAGAGAUCACCAAGCACUAUGUGAUUGUAUCAUACUUGUAUAUCAUCAUUUUACUAACAAAAAUACCAAAAAUAUGUCUUUGCUUUUGCCUAACUCUUUGUAGGUGGGGCAUGAUCUCCAUUGAUCUAUCAAGUUCAUAUCUAGGGUUUGAGACCCUCAUGACAAAGAGCACAACCAUGAAUUAAUCCAAGAAUGGUUAUAAGCAUCAUAUAUGAGUUCCGCUGACCCUUACAUGUUAUAUUGAUCAAGUGUUCUUUAAGAGUUUGAAGGUGAUUUACCUUGGAAACCCUAGUUUGACUAGGUAUCUUGAGUAACUUCUCCAACAAGCUAUCUCACCAAUGGAUCAAAUUUCUCAAGGGACACUUAGAAAUUCAUCAUCUUUUUAUAUAUGAUCUACCAUGAGCCAAGAAAAUUAAAAGAAUUGAAAGUUAGCAAGUUAGUUGAUGGUGGUUGGUCAGAUGAAUUUAUCUGAUCAAAACUGCGUCUCCCUAGACCCUAUCUCCUACAAUAUUCACCAUAUGAAAAUGAUUCCAAGAUAAAACUUACUCUAAAUUCCAUUACAAACAACUUUCAUGUUGAGACCUAGAGCUAGUUUUUCUUGGAAAGUCAUUUUCUAUGUUGAAACAUUAUAGGUCAUGUUGUCUAAAACCUAAUUUGAAAGUCAACUUCCCAAGGCAAUAACUUGCUCAACUUUUAUGAUAUGAAAUAUUUCCAAGUUUCACAAUCAAAUUCAAGAUGUCUACUUCAACUUUGAUUUUUGGAGUGAGAGCUAAUUCAACUUUUUUGAGCAUGUGAUAUGAGGUUACAUUAUAGGUCAUUUUUGACCUAUACCAUUGAACAAGUGAUUUUUUCAAACCACAAAAAUGCAUAACUCUAUCAUUUUAAAUCCAAAUGACAUGAAAUUGGUGACCGUUUUGAAGUUAUUUGAAAGAACUACAACUUUAAUGAAGACACUGUUCUCAUUUGAAGCUCCCACAAAAAGUUAAGCAAUGUGGAAUAUUGAGGUAUAUGGCUUGACACUUAAAAAAAACUUUGACAUGUUGAAAUUUCCUAACUUCCACCUCAAAAUUCUCUAUGUUCGAAGCUACAAAUGAAAAAGUGUUGAACAUCAAACUUGUUCCCCUUGAUCCAAGAUUUUCAAAUAACCCAAGUUAAUGCAUUUUGGACAAAGAUUGAUAGGUUUGUGCAUGGGUUUAACAGGACUGCAUCAUUGGAAAGAAUCAAUUGCUCAAACUUCAGUUCACAAUGCCUUUCCAUUCAAGCUUCAUUCAGACCUCAAUCAGAAUCACUUUUGGACCUUAAUGCAUUGCAUCAUGGGCCUGUACAUACCCAUGCACUCGUGCCAUCCACAUUGCCAAUUUUGGACAGAUUUUGAAGUGUGCAAAUAUCAUUCCCUUUGGCAAUAAAUAGAAGGCCUCUGAGCUCAUUUGAACAAGACUUUGUGCGCCAGCUUUUCCCCCCAUUGAAACCCUCUCAUUCUAAAGGAAAACCUGAGAAAUUUCAAUUUGAAAUUUGAGUUUGAAUCUCAACUAUAGGAGAUUCAAGAACUCAAGGAUCCAAAACCUUGCAACCUCUCUAAUAACUUCCUGCUAGCUCCUCAAAUGUGAUCAGAUCGUGUUUGGAGCAAGCCACAUCAAGAACUGCAUAACAUUGAAGGUAAUUUUCAGAAAACUUCAUCUCUUCGAUUCUCACUCAAUUCUACUCAAUUCUCUUGGAUAUUUGGUUGUCUAAAGUCCUACCAAUGUAGGCAAGAAGAUUCAGUUGCUUAGAAGUCAAAUCGAAGCAACUCAGUUGACACACCUCAAAAUUCAACUCCUCAUAUCUUUUUAUAUAUUUGGAGUUAGUUGAAAUUGAGGUCAGAUUCGUGCUCUAUGCCAUUUUUUCUUUCAGAUCAUGUCCUCCUUUUUAUUUUGGUGAUGGUUGAGGGUGGACCAGUCCGGCGAGGUCCACCGGAGAAGAAGACCGGAGUUACAGCUCCGGCGAUGUGUUGGCAUCUCUCCAUACCACAGGAUUCUUUUCAAAUGUUUUAAUCUGACGCGUUCGUUCUGAUUACCAUCCCUGCAGCGCAUUGACUAGUGUCCAUUGUGGAACACGCACUGAGGACCACUUGAUAUGCCACCUCAAUUAAUGAGGGAGAUCAAGUGGUCCACGUUUUUUGCUAUUUUCUGAUUUUCAUUUUAAUCCUUUUAUUUUCAUUAAUUCAUAUUAAUUUUAAUAUUGAUCAAAUGAGGGAGAUCAAGUGGUCCACGUUUUUUGCUAUUUUCUGAUUUUCAUUUUAAUCCUUUUAUUUUCAUUAAUUCAUAUUAAUUUUAAUAUUGAUCCAAAAAAUAUGAGAGUUUCACCAAAAAAUUCAAAUAAUUUCCUCUGUCAUGAUUUAAUUGAUUUUGCAUUCAUUUUUAAUUGUUUAAAAUAUUUUUAAGUCUUUAAAAAUUCUGGAAUUUUGUCUCCAAGGCCCUUUGACCUUGUUUGACCUAUGAUAAAUCUCAUGGCCAUUUCAUUGGUGUUUUGAUGAGAUUUUAAGAAUUUGACAAACUAUAUUUAAUUUAAAUGUAUUAUUUUAGUCUUUUGAAUUUGAAUAAAUGUCAAUUAAUUGUGUGGACUAAUUGUGAUGACUUGUUUGAGUUUGACUCUUGUUGUUGGGCCUUGGUCAAGGUUGAAUUGACUUUUUCAAGUUAAUAUCAUUGGAUUUAGGGGACUGAUGGAAUGUACAUUUCAUCUCCCAAAAUGAAUGGAUGAUAUUAAUUUGGUAAAAGUUCUCCUUUGACCAAUUUGAGUUUUGAUCCAUUCCCCUCCCUCUUCAUCUCAUUCUCAUUCUUUAUGCAUUCAUCUCAUUCGGUCUAUCAUAUCUCAAAGUCCUAAGGCUAGUUGAUUGAAAAAUUAACAUAAGUAUGGAUGAGAUUAGACAAUCUAUUUUGCAUAUUCUUUUUGUGUGUGGUAUGUUUCAUGAGCAUAGUCCAUUAUACUUUGUCUCUAACAUGCAUUAACACCAAAAUUCUAUUGUCUGACCUCAAAUAGUUGUGACUUCUACAUAAGUCCAAUUACAAUUCCUUAACAUAGCGCUAAAUUUUUGACACAAAAGGCAUAUCAUUCUAGUUAGUGAGAUUGUAAGUCUCCCCUCUCUCAUUGUAUUGUGGGGAAACUUGGCCUUUUUUCCUUCCUUUGGAAGAUGUCUUGGUUCAAGGAUCCAUGCUUGUGAUAAGUGGGUUAAGUGUUCUUCAAAGAAUGACUUAAAAAAUGAAAAGCAAAAGCAAAACAAUACUAACUUCUAACUCAUUAACAACUAACUUUUAAUUUCAAGCCAUUUACUUUAAUGUCAUUUAAUUUUAGUUUUUAUUCAUUUGUCAUUAUUCAUACCAUUCUAAUUGUUUAUGUUAAUGCAAUUUUCACUUUGUCCAUUUGCACCAUAUUGUGUGAUAUAUCUUGUUUGUGUUUACUUUGUUUGUUUGUGUGUUAUUUGACCAUGAAUGUACAUAAUAACAACAAAAACCCUAAAAAAACUUUAGUGUGGACUGUUGGCUUGAUCUUGGACAAAUGGACUUAGAAUUUAGGCAACCUCCCUAUGCUAAAGGACUUGGCCAAUGCCAACUUUUGUGAAAUCAAAUGCUUACAAUUUGAAAUUUCAUCUGAUACAUCAUUGAAGAUACGUUUGAGUUCAUCUGCAACAUGAUCAUUGUGAAGUUGUUAUUUUGAACCUGUGACUUGUGGAAUUCAUCUGUUACAUGGGAAAAUUUGAAGAAGAUCAUGGAGUGGCUAAGCUUGGAUAUGGCUAUCUUUAUUUGAUGCCUUUACUCUUUAAGAUUGAUAUAAUUGUGCAUUUGUGUGUUGCUUGAUUCUAAAUGUCCAAGGGAAUUUGGGGUUUCUAUGUGGCAUUCUUGCCUGUUGGAUUGCUACCCAUCGGUCAGAUCUUUUCAACUCUUAACUUUUAAUUUUGUGAAUAGGGUUAGUCUCUUCAUCUUCUCCCCAUUUCUUUAAUUUCAAAAUAUCUCCCUCCUUUUUAAAUUUUCUUUGUUUGAAAUUAUUUUGUUCUAACCUUUGACCACUUUGCAAAAAGAUAGAAACUUUGGCCUUAUGCCAUUGCAUUUUCAAACUUCUUUUCUUAAAUCAAAUUUGUAAAUAAACUGAACUAUACUUGACCUAAAAUUUGAAAAAUCCAAAAAGAACUAACUCAUUCUAACCAUUUUUAGGCCUUUGUGCCUUUCAAACUUAAAUUUUCUUAAAAACAAUGCAUCCACUUUGAAAUUUGUAUCACGAACUACGAGGUUUUGAUCCCUCAUUUUUAUCUUGGUACGUAGGCACAAGUCCGAAGGUCUUGUCAAACCCAAAAAUAUAAUUAAUGAAUUAUUUUCUCAUCCCCCCAUUCUAUUUGUUUGUAAAUAUCAUUUUUGUACCAAAUACAUAUGCACACAAAAAGGGCUCCCUAGGAGUACCUAUGACAAUUUGGGUGCUAACACAUUCCCUUUAUGUAAUCAACCCCCUUACCUGUAAUCUCUGACAUUUUAUUAGUUUUGAUUUGGAAACUUCUUACUUUUGGGUUUUGUUCGUACCUUUUCCCUUUUUUCUUUGAAACAAUAAAAGCGCGAUGACAACUCUUGUUAUUUGAUCUCUAGCUUAUCUAUAGCUUGAUGAUUAUGAAUUUACCGCUACAGCUACCUAAUAUGUAACCACGGUCUCUCGCCCGUUGUGGAAACCAAUAUACAUACAAUCAUACGCUAUUUGUCAACGGACAUGCAACCGUCAUAAAAUGUGUUUCGUAACCGUCAUUAUAUGUGUUUUUCGUAAUAGUGACACCUAAAUCAACAGACAAAAUCCAUCAUGCUCUCUUCAAAGUGAUUUGUGGAUUGAUGUUUGAUUGUUAUCAGAUUGUGUUGAUAGAAUGACAGGGUUUACUUGGAUUCCCCUUUAGUAUGUCUCUUCAUUAGCGGAUUGGUUCAUGUCCGAAACACUAUUCUUUCAUAUAAGUAAUGGUUGCUAACCUUAAACUUAAAAACAAACCACUCUAAUUUUUCUUAAUUAAAAUUCAAUACCCAACUCUAACGUGGAUCACUUUUAAAAUUUGGUUCAUAUAGUAUAUGAUAGCAAUUAACAAUAUCACGAGUAUCUAAAUUAAACUCUGAUCUAUGCAUGAAGAAAUGUUGUUGUUAGGUUAACAGGUGUCCUUUCUUUACACUACUUUAAAUUUUAUGCAUGCAUCACUUUAUAUAUAAUAUGUGAAACCCACUAACGAUACGCAAGAAUAAAUAUUAAUUUUAAUAGCCUUAAACUUUUGCAAAGGAGGGGACAAAAGUUAAUAUUCUCACAACUUUUGUACAUCACUUUCUCCCACCGAACACAAAAGCUAAAUAGUGUGUGCUUUGUAUAUACAAGAUAUGAACAAUGUUUCUUAAUAUCAGUGGCUAUCGAACAUUAUUACAAAAAAUUAACAUAAACAAUUUUGAUUCCUUGCUAAUUCACUUUCUAUGAAAUUGGCUUUGAAAGCACCAAGGAACACGUUAUAGGUCGAGAAAUGGCUUUGCACUUUUAUAUCCACAUAUCUUUUUAUGCCAAAAUAAGGGGUAUAAAGAAAGGUUGUUUGUCGGUUUUAUGCCACACAUGCAUCUCCAUUCACAUAUCGGAAGCAACAUUGUCGAUUAAGCAUAAUUAAUCAAUUUCUAUAUCAAUAUAUGUGGAUUGGUCAAAGGCACGGAAAGCUCAAUCCAAUCCACAUAAACUCAAUUCAAAGUUUGAUCCAAUGCUCAAUUCGCUUUAUGAGAUUACCACGGAUCCGCUCAGGUAGACCCAUACCACCUAUCACCACACAUGAGCAAACCUCAUUUAUGAUUAGAAUCGUUGAAUUUCUCACUCCACAUUAGAUGAGACAAUUUUAACACCCUUCUUAUUUAAGGGUUGACUCACACUCAGAUACGAUGCAAUUCAUAAUUGCAAAAUUCCAACUCAAUUUCAUACUGAUUUAAGUGUGGUAGUACUAACCUUUUUUAUAAGUAUCCUCUCUAAUUAUUAGAGAACUGUCACUAUCACAUUAAAAGCAUCUUUACAUCGGUUUUUAUUAACAACCCAGUCAUUCCCUGUUUACUAUUGAAUACUUUUCUUUUUGGUUAGUGUUUAUUUAUUAUAUUUAGAUUGUUAUACUCUAUAAAAAUAGUAUCUUUUUCAUUCGUAUAAAUGAAUUUGGUGACUCGAGUUAUGCACAAAUUGAGUAAAUCAAAAAUUGCAUGUAUAAGUGUGAUUCAAAUCAUAAGAUCUCCUCAUUCGAAUAAGAGAAAAGUUUGAUUGGAAUCACAUAAGAGUUUGAUUUAAAUCAUGAAUGAGCAUAUAAUUUUGAUUUCAUUUAGGCUGAUGCGACUAAUCAAAGAUUCUCUUUAUUAGAAUCACGUGACUCUGAUCAAGGAUGCAAAUAUAUGAAUUUUUAUGUUCUUGAAUUAACUCAUUUCUUAUUUGAUCCGAAUCAUCAUUUUUUCUCUUGACUCGAUUAAAAAGGUCAGAUUUUACUCAUUUAUAGUUAAUUUCUCUAGCACAUCUAAAAGCCAAAUACUUUUUAUCUUUACAUAAAAUAAAACCUUUCAAAAUUUUGUGCAUUUCUUACAAAAGGACUUUUGUAUACUCAUUGAAAUUUCUGAAACACAACUUUAUCUCUCAAAUUAAACUUCAAGAAAAAUUUCUCUUAUGUUGAAUUCAUGAGUGUUCUAACAAGUGUAUAUGAAAUUCUUUCUAAAAUUCAUCAUCUUCAAUCUCUAGCAAAAAAAAUCAAUGGUGUGUGUUUUGAUUUCAAUUCUAAGAACUGGGGUGUUCAGAUCUAGUGUGAAGAGGUUCAUUAAUGUUCUAAUGUCCUAAGAAGUUUUCUUUUCAGAUUGAAGAUUGUGUGUGCAUGUGUAUGUAUGCACGUGCACGCGUGUAUGUGUGUGUGUCGUUGUUAUGAAUAUUGAUAUCCAUGAAAAAAAAGAGUUUCUUUUCAAAAUUAAAAUUUUAGUAGGAACAAGUUAUGAUCGUUAUGGACAAAAUUUUGGAGUUUCUGGUUCCUAUAUCAGUUCUAAGAUUCAGACUAGGGAAAUUUUGGUAGGAUCAAGUGAAGAUCAAUACGGACAUGAUCUUGAAGUUCUUUGGUUUUGAGAGGAUGAACUGUUUUAAGGUCGAGUGAAAUUCUUGGGAAGUUUGCAGCUUAGUAAGUUGUCUUCAACAAAAAGAAGAAUCAAGACUCAUAUCUGAGUAGCUUAAUAGUUUAAUUAAGUUUCCAUUUUUACUAUGAUUAUAUGUUUUAACUAAAAGACACUUGUGAUUCCCAACAUUAGUGUAAAACUAACACAUUGGAUACUGGAUUAGGGGCAAGUGAGGAUUGUUGGGAGAGAAUAUGAGAAUUAAAUGGUCUAGAAGGGGGGAGUUUAAUAGACCUCCUUAAAAAUUUGAUUGAUUAAAAACUUGUUUAUUUCAAAAAAGAGCAGAGUUUAAAAAAUAUUUACGCGAUAGAAAAAUGUGCGUAAAAUAUCUAUACUUUAGGAAAAAAUACACAUAAGACUUAAUCAAUAUACAAAAUUGAAAGUAGAUGAGACAGGUAACCAAAGUAGUCAAUACAGUUUAUUGAAUUAUCGUCAUUUUGCACGAGUUGUGUAAAUGAAUAACUUCAAUACAAUGAGAAUUAUAGAAUUAUUGUCUCAAGUUUUAAUCAACAAAAAUAAUGAUUUGAAGUCUCAAUCUAAUAAAACAUACACUUAUGAUUGAAAUUGCUAUUAAUGCAAUAAACCUAACUACGUAUGAUUAUAAAAAAGAAAUAAACCUAACAUUUACCUAUACAUAAAACUAAAAAAGAUAUGGAUAGAGAUGAUUGCACUGGGGCUUAUACUCGUUCAGUGUUUUUUCCCUCUCUUGUGCUAAAUCCAGUCUCAAAUUAUUUUCCAUUGAAAACUUGAUGUUCUUCCACUAUGAUUUUGACAAAUUUUACUAAGUUGCUUAGUAAAAUCACAAUUUUAAUAAUUCUAAAAAUAAAAAAUCUUCAAUCUGAAUCCUUAUUGACUUGUAAACAUUAUCUAACACCGAGCUCUUGCGAAAUCUUCACUUGAAAUUAACUUAAAUCUUUCAGCUCCAAGUCUUUGUUAUGCAUUGAUUUUUACUCAAUCGUAUUGGUAUCUUAAUCCAUGUCUUGUCUUGAGAUGAGAAAAACUUCAACUUUGUGUGUAGGCUUUAACACAACUCUACCAAAGCAAUUAUGGAGAGAAGAAACUCCUUUUUUUCCGCUGGAUUUAUCCACUCCCCACAACGAAACACAUAAUUGAAAACCCCUGAAUUCCUCAAGAAAUCUUCAAAGAAAACGUUAAUCAAGGAUCCUCCUAACAAAUCUCACACCCUAAGAUGAGAGUUAUAUCUAAACAAAAAUGGAUGAUGCAAGUGGCUGAAGAUGAAGAGAUUUUGUUUGUAAAACUCAAAACAAGAUUUAAAACUCUUCUGAAAAUUUAGAGAACACGUGUAUUGUGAGUUCUAAAUAAAAUGUGGAUGUAUAUAUUUUUCAACAUUGUGAAUGGGUUUUGAGAAAAAAUUGUUUAUACAUGUGUUGGAGAUCUAGCACAAAUAUGAGAUAAAAAUGAUGUUUGAUUCGAGUCAUAAGCAAAGAGUAAGAGAUGAGUCAAUAGAUCAAGUGAUUUAAAUCAAGACCCAAUAACUAAGAAAAACUAACUCCGUUAUUUUAGUCAUGAUUUAUGUGAUUUGAGUCAAGAAACCUCUUAUCACAUUCAUUUAAUCAAAAUCUAAAAACUGCUAAUUGUGUUUAAUUUGAAUCAAUGACUCUUUUGUUCAAUUUAAACAUCUUUGAUUUGAUUCAUAGAUUGUUAUGAUUCGAACCACACUAAUAUAAGUAAAUGUUUUUUUUCAUAAAUGUGAUUGAUUUGAAUCAGAAAAUCUACGUUUCGAAUCAUGAUAUCACAUAACUAACUCCCUGCAAUUUUAUAACUCUGAUUUAAAUCAUGUAAGCUUGUGAUUCAAAUCACACUUCUAGAACCUUAAUUUUUGUAAAACACGAAGUGUUUUUUUUCAGAAUCCAAACUUGUCAUGACUUUAACCAUUUUUAAAUGCGGUUCUCGAUUUAAAACUUUGAAAAAUUGACUAGAAGCAUAUUUCUCAGGCUAUAGUCAAACAAUUUUAUUUAUACAUGCAUAAAAAUGGAUUAAGAACUCAAUCUUAGGAUGCACAAUCAUGUGAGAAGACUCAAUGAUAAUAAAAAUAAAAAUAAAAUCUAAAUAACAAGCAACCAAAUACAAACCCUUAGAAGGCAAAGGCAACUUCAAGGAUGACACACCCAACUGGUAUAAAUAUUGGUGCCCAGUUGUCUAUGUCACUCUCUUUUAAAUAUUUGUAUAUUUUUCUUGCUCAUAGGUUGAUUAUCACUUUCUAGCAUUGUUUAAUUUUAAGGCUUUAUCGUCUCCUAGAAUUGUAUGUUUUAAUUUUAUCCUUUUGUGUUUUAAUGUUUAAGCUUAGGUUUAUGUUAGAUCUUGUUUGGUAAACAUUCUUUUUGCUGACUAUAUCUGUAAAAACAUAUAAUAUUAGAUUAUCUUUCGAUUAGUAAAAUUCCAUUAAAAAAAUCUUAUUACGAAUCAAAAUCAGUUAAUUAAACAUUAUAGCGGUAAGUUCAUGACCACUGAGCUAUUGGUUAGCUAAACGUCAAUAAAACAAGAGUCGUCACCACACUUUUAUUCUUUCCAAAGGUAAAGGGAAAAGUACGAACAAAAUCCAAAGAUAAGAAGUUUUUAAAUCAAAACUAAUAAAAUGUCAGAGAUUACAGGUAAGAGGGUUGGUUACACAGAGGGAAGGUUUUAACACCCAAAGUGUCCUAGGUACUCCUAGGGAGUCCUUUUUUGUGUGCAAGUGUUUUUGUUAAAAAAAAUGUUUGUUGAAAAUUGAAUGUGGGGAUGAGAAAAGGAUUCAUUUAUUAUAUUUUUUGUGUUUGACAAGACCUUCGGUCUUAUGCCUACAUACCAACAUAAAAAUGAGGGAUUAAAUCAUCGUAGUUUGUGGUAAAAAUUUCAAGAAUGGGUGGAUUAAUUUUAACAAAAUCUAAAAUAUCUUUUGUUAUCAAUGGGAGAAAAGUCAAGCAAACACCCACCAAUAAUGAGGGCUUUACAACUUUUAAGAGGGAGGGCCCCAACUUGGAUUCAGUCAACAAGUAUGCCAGUAACCCCUAAUAAAUGGAAAGACUUACAAUCAAUAUAUCAUGGAAUGGGAUAAUUAUAUCUCGACCAAAGAUAACUCAAAUCUAAAUACUUUCUUUUGAAAAGUUUAAAAGAAAAAGGCACAAAGUGGCCAAAAUGAUUAGAUGAGGUUGUUAGUUCUUUUUGGGUUUUUAAAAUUUAAGCCAAUAUGAUUAAGUUUGUUCACAAGUUUGAUUAAGAUAUAUUUUUAAAAUCAAUCGCAUAAGGCCAAAGUCUUUACUCAUUAAAACAAGUUUAGGUUAAAAACACAAACAAAGAAGGUUUUUGAAAUGAGGGAGAGAUUUUUGAAUUUAAAGAAGGAGAGGAGGAUAUGAAGAGACUAUCGUAGACAAGAUUUAAAAGUUUAGAGUUGAAAAGAUCUAACCAAUGGGAUGCAUCCACAAGACAAGAGUGUUAGAUAAAAACCUAUAUCCUUUGGACUAUUGAGAAAGCAACAAGCAUAAUCAUCCAAGAAAUUAAUAAGAAGAUAAAUUGGUAUCAAAUAAAGAUAACCAAACAUCCAAGAAAGUACUCCAAAAGCAAGCAGUCUUCAAUGUCCUUUAAAUGUGUCAAAUAUCCCUUGUAGCAAACUCAUAGAGACAAUAAUUAGAUAGAAAUAAUAAGAUAAAUAAAUAACUUAAGCACAAAGACAAAGUAAUAAAUAAACCAAUGGGGUUCCCAAGGCUUGUAUCAUAUGAAUGGCAUUGGCCAAUAAAGGUCUCAAAUCAAUGGCAUUGGCCAAGUUCCCUUCAAAGCAUAGGGAUGUUGCCCAUUCUAGGUCCAAAAGUUCAGAUCAAGUCUCAAACAGAGGUCCAACAAUCCACCAAUUUAUUUCUUAGGGUUUUUGUUGUUAUUUAGUAUUUUAAGGUCCUAAGACCACAAACAAAACAAAAUCACAAGCACACAAUAUAAUACAAGCACAAAAUAUGGCUCAAGUGAGCAAAGUGAAAAUCACUGAAACAUAAACAAAUUGCAUGAAUGUAAAUGACAAUCAAUGAUAAAGUACAAGAAUUUAAAUUGCAUUAAAGUAAAUGACAUUAAAAAUAAAUUCAAUACAAAUAAAUGUUAGUGAAAUUUUAGUGGAAGGAGCAAUUGUUUAAGUCAAUCUUUGGAGAACACUCAACCACCUACUCACAAGCAUGAAGAUAUGAACCAAGACAUCAUCCAUGAGAAGGGCUCGAACUUGGAUGAAUCAAUAAGUAUGUCACUAGCUCUCACAAAUGGGAAAGGGUUAAAUUUUCACACAAUACCAUGAGAAACGGGAGACUUACAAUCUCACUUACAAAAAUGUUAUGCCUUUGGGACAAAUUUAGCUCUAUGUUAAGCAAUCGUAAUUGGACUUCUGUAGAAGUCACAACUAUCUAAGGUCGAGAAAUAAAAAUAUUGGUGUUAAUGCAUGCUAGAGACAAGGUACAAAGAACCAAGAUCCUAAAGCAUACCACACACAAAAAUAAAAUGGGAUGGGCCUAUCUCAAUCAGACUCAUAUUGAUUCAUCUGGCACAAGGUCAUUGGUGAAUCAACUAGCAUUUGAUUUGUUGAGAAAUCAUUGGCUAUGGAGGGAAUGUGGAAGAAGAGAUAUGAAGAUGAGAAGGUGAAGUGAAAUAGAAUCCCAAAUUGAUCAAGGGAGGAACUUCAUCUGAUCAAUACUAUCCAUUCAUCUUGAGGGAUGAAUUUUACACUUCAAUAACCCCUUAAAUCCAAUAGUAUUGAUCAAAUUGGAGCUCAAAUCAACCAAGAUCAAGGCCAAAUAGAAGAUGAAACAACACAGGGUCAAUCAAAUAGCUCAAUAUAAUUUUAAAGAAAUUAAUCAAAUUAAAAUCAAUUUUAAAAUGAAUAAAUAUUCAUUUAAAAAUGGGAAAACCUCAAAUACCUUCAAAUCACCAAAUAAAUGGCCAAGGGAUUUAACCUAAGUCAAACAAGGUCAAACGACCUUAGACAAUUUAUUUUGGCAUUUUUUAAAAGUCAUAAGUAUUUAAAAUCAAUUAAAAACAAGUUAAAAAAUUCACUAAAAAUAUCAAAUCCAAUCCAAAAAAUAAUUUUAAUUCAGAAAAUGGAAGAGAAAAUUAUUUGAAUUUUUUUGGUGAAAGUCCCAUAUUUUUUAGACAAAAAUUGAAUUUAUAAUAAAUUUAAUAAGAAAAUGACAUUUCAAAAAUUAAAACAGAAAAUUAAUUAAAUCCAAAAAACAAGGGCUAUCAGAUCUCCCUCAUUAAUUGAGGUGGCAUAUCUGAUGGCCAUGUGUAUCAUGUCUAUGAUGUUCCAAGGCCAACGCGUGUGUACACAUGGUAUGCAAGAUCAACGGAUGGGAUUAUAACGUGGCCAUGUGAUCAAACGGCUUGGACAGGGCAAACGCAUCACUGUAGCCCUAGCUUCGGUCGUCUUCUCCAGUCACCUUCAUCGGACUGGUCAGGACCAAAACAUCACCAAAAUUAAUGGAUCAUAUAUCAUUUUGAAGAGAAAAUCAUGAGGAUCUCGAAUUUGACCUCCAAUUUCUCCAACUCUCACUAUAUAAAAAGAUAUAUGGAGUUGAGAAAUGACGUAUGCAAACUGAGUUGGUUCGAUUUAACCUCAAAGCAACUCAAUCUUGUUGCCUACAUUGGUAGGACUUCAACCAACCAAAAAUUAAUCAAAAAGGUGGGGAAUGAGAGAGAAUCAAAGAAGGAAAGUUUGAGAAAUUCCACCUUCAAUUUGCAGUGAUGAAGAUCGAUCUCGAUUCCAAUCCACUUGGCCUUGCUUCUUCUUACUUAUAGGAGAUAAUUCAAAUGAAAAUGGUUGUGAACCCUUGGAGUUUUAGCUCUCAAACAGAAUUUGAACUAAAACUCGAUUUCAAUGAAAUCUUCAAGGUUGUUCUUUCAAUAGAGGUUAGGGGGAUUGCAGAGCAGAGUUUGGGCCAGGAUCCUGCAAUGUUGAGGCAAUGGCAAUGUAUUUAUAGCCUCUUGAAUUCAUUUCCACAUCAUUCAAAAAAUUGGCCAAAAAUAGCAAGUUGUGUGCAUCGGCGCACGAGAAUGCAUUUAGGACCAAACAAUUAUGUGAUCCACUUCCAAAAUUCAUGUAAAAUUGAUGUUGAAGUCAUAUCAUGGAAGCAUGCAAAGGAGAAUAACAUUUGAGUUCAAAAAUUGCCAAAAUAUACCAUCUUGAGGAACCAUGCACAAGUCCCUCAAAUUUGAUCCAAAUGUAACGAUCUUGGACUCUUUAGAAAGAUACCAUCAAGGGGAAAAACGUUUAUUUUGGGAUUGUUUACAUUUGAAGCUUGGAUAAUAAUUCAUUCUGACCUUAAAGUUGGAGGAGUCAAACAUACUUGAAAAUUUUCUAAGUUAAAAGUCAAAUGACCCCUUUUUCCACCUUGAAUAACUUUUGCUAUGAGCUUCAAAUGACUUUGGUUCCUUCUACAAAGUUGUAUCUAUUUCAAUUAUAUUCAACUUAGUCACAAAUUUGACACCAUUUGGAUCUUGCAUGAUAGAAUUAUGGAUUUCAGAAGUUGAGGAAAAAUGCAUGUUCAAUGAUAAUGGUCAAAAUGGACCUAUAAUGUUUCCUCAUGGAACAUGCCCUUGCAUGUAGAGUUUGACAUUUCUCAAAGAAAAAAAGUUUAAAAAGAUAUCUUUAAACUAAUCAUGAAACUUUUAUCAUCUUCAUAUCAUAACAAUUUAUGAAUUUAUGGUUCUUGGAAGUUGACCUUCUAUCUAGGGCACAGACAAAAUGACCUAUAAUAUUUCACCAUAAAAAAUGACUUUCCAAGAAAACAUAGCUCUUGAUGCCAACAUGAAAGUUAUUUUAAAUUCAUAAAUAUUAACUUUUAUCUUGGAAUUAUUUUCAUAUGAUACAAAUUAUAGGAUAUAGGAUAUAGGAAACCCUAGAUUUGACUAGUUGACUUUUCUGAUCAACCUCCUUGAACCAACUUGCAAACUUGAAGUUAAUUUGCUCUUUAGGGCUCAUGGAGGAUAAUAUAUGCUUAUGAUUAAGUAAAAUGGAGUAUCCCUUGGUAUAGUUGACCAAAUGUUGAAGAAAAUUAUUGAGGAAGGCACACAAGAUACCUAGAUGAAUUAGGGUGUCCUUGACAAACAAGCUUCAAACUCUUGGUGAAUUAUUGAUCAAAAUGACAAAUAAAGAACACGGGGAUAUAUAUAUGAUGCUUUGAACCAAUGUUUACCUUUUCUAACUUGAUUCCUUGCAUUGAGGGCCUCAUACCCUAGUUGUAAGCUUGAUGAGGCACAAGUGGAUACACACACUACCUACAAAAAGAAACAAAGCUACACAAGACAUAUAUUUUGGUAUUUUGGUUAGUAAAAAAAUAAAUUAAAGUACGAUACAAUCAAAAAUUUAAGGUGAUAUCUCCCAAUGCAAACCCAAUGAAUGAUAGGUGAGGAGGAUACCAAGGUGUGAUCCCAAUGCUAAUGCCAAAUCAUGAUAUGGCAUGAGGAGUCUUAGGGUCAAAAUUGGGGUCUUACAUGCAUUGUUUGUUACUAAAUUCCCUAGUUUAUUUUUCAUUAUAUUUUUCAAACAUUAAGCAAUAUGUGUAUUCUGUCUUUAACGCAUAAAAAAAGUUACAUUCUUGCGCAUUUUGAAAACUCUAAUUUUGAAAACAUUUUUGAAAGAAUAUUUAUCAGGAGAAGGUCUACUCAACCCUUUUAUAGAACAUUCUAAUCUUAUAUUCAAAUCAACAGUUGACUUAUAAAGCUGGUGUUUUGAUCGUGUAUCACGACUUCAAAAGUUGUUAAUAUAGGAAAGGGAGAUUUGGAAGGGGCAUAAAAUAGAGCACCUAAAUUCUAUGGAGUAGACUAUGCAUAUUUGAAAGAUUUCAUGUUUUUUCAUUUAAUUUCAAUAGAUAAAAUGCUUUUGUUUAUUGUUGAAGAUAGUCCUUUUGUCCUAAUAUUUUUUGGACCUAUGUGCUUGCAAGAGUGAAGUUGAUGAUCCUGAUGUUGUCAACCAUCUUGAUGUUUUGUGACAACAAUGUUGAUGAUUGUUGAAGUUGGUGAUGAUGUCCUUCCAAUUAUUUGAUAAUGACAAUUAACUUGAAGAAAUCUUAAGCCUCAUCAAGUAGGAGGUUCAAGGUUCCAUUGUUGUCCGUAUAUGAUCAGUGUAUUUGGAAAAGGAGCUUGAUUGGGAUUUUUUAACAGUUUAAUCGAUUAAAUUAUAUGCCUAAUAAAUUAGAUGAUUCCAAUUCAAGUAUAUAAUCGAUUAUGACAAUCUCUUAAUGACUGUUAAUGUCUCUAUAUCAAAAUAUUCCUUUUUGGGUCAUAAUAAUCAAUUAUUAUAUGCACUUAAUCAAUUUGCCAAAUCGAUUACACCAUUAAUUUGGCACAUGGAUUGUUUCCAUUUUUAGCCAAAUUGUUUCCUUUAUAAAUGAGACUUAUCCUCACUUAAUUUCACACUAGAAUUUGGAUUUUUCUAAGUCUUUAUAAUCUCUCUCUCUCUAUCUCUAUCUCUAUCUCUCUCUCUUGUCCCUCUUUAAAUGUUUUCUUUCAACAAUGUUCCCUUAGUACAUUGUGGGUGAAAACUACUUGUGAGGAUAUAAUUAUAUUGGUAUUAUGCCACUAUUGUUAUUUUCAAUAGUGAGUAAGUGUUGAAUAUUUGAGUUUGGUUCUUGAUAUCAACCAUUGAGAAUUGUUUUUUUUAUAGAACUUAGCUUGCAAAAGUUUUGUUCAGUUAUUGAGAUCAACCGAUGAAAUCUCUACUCAGUUCAUGAGUUCAUCCUGUGGAAAAGCUCUCUUUUAUUUUGGGCGAUAAGCUAGUGUAAAAUCUAUUGAUUCUAUUAUAUAAAAUGUUGAUGGGCAUAAUCUAUAAACUCUCAAUAUUAUUUUAAAAUUUCAAGAAUAUCUCUUGGGGACAGGACCAAAACAACGUUCGACCGAACCUAGAUAACUCUUUGGUGUCAUCUCUUUAACUCUGUCGCUUUUAAUCAUGUUAUGUAGCUGGAUACUUUAUUUACUUUCCACUGCUUUUUCUCUCUCUAAUUUUGUGAAUACUAACACAAUUUUCUUCUUAGUUAAUAAAACCUUAGAAUUAAUCACGAAUUUUGAAUACCACAAUUCCCCCCCCCCCCCCCUCUUUUGCAUGGAAUCACUUAUCCAAUAAGUGGCAUGAGAUCCUAACUCAUUUUUAAGACUAAUAUUCCUAGGAGGAAAAUAAAUUCAAGGUAUUAACUAAACAAGUUUUCAUCGUUUAAUGGAGAAGGGUGUAGUUUGUGGAAAGAGAAAAUGAAGUUUUUCAUAGAAGAGAUGGAUCAUAGUAUUUGAGUUGCUGCGAAGGAAGGUCUGAUUUUUCCUACACAUAAAUUUAAUGGUGUUGUAGUACAUAAACCGGAAAAGGAUUGGACUAAAUAAGAUAAGAAAAUGUGGAGCGCAAUUUAUAGGAAAAAAUUGUCAUCAUUAUUGUUCUUGAUCUUGAUGAAUUUUUGUAAGUUUCUCACUAUGAGACUACAAAUAAAUGUGGAAUAUCCUCAUAAUUGCCCAUGAAUAAACUAUUCAGGUUAAGAGGUUAAGUUUGGGGACAUUAAAUCCCGAGUAUAAACUUUUUAUAAUGAAACCGGAAGAGAACAUAAAUCAAAUGAAAACACGGUUUACCUAUAUCGUGAGUCAUAUAAGAAAUAAGAAAUUUGUUGUGAAAUUUCUCAGAUGCUUAAACCGUAGUUGGAAAUCUAAAGUCAAUACAAUUUAUGAAUAUUGAGAUCGAGUAACCAUGGACACACAAUUACACUUUCUUUGGUAAAUUAGAGGAACAUGAGAUGAAGCUUAAGAGACUUGCUGAUGACGAGAAAGAUGACAAGAAGAAGAGGAAAAGUUUUGAACUUAGAUCUACUAACAUCAAAGAUAUGGAAUCAGAAGAUGAAGACUGUCAAAAUCAGAGAAUAUCCAAGAACCCGUAAAAAUAAGUUAAGAGAGCCUACAUAUUUUGGAUGGUAAUGAUGUGGAAUCCUCUAACUAGGAAGAAGCAAACAUGCAUCUCAUGGAAAAUCGUUAAGAAGAUGAGGUAACCUUUUAUUUUUUUAUAAAGACUUGACUUGUUUCACAUAUGUAAAAAUCUAAAUAAAGAAAUAAGUAAAUUAGAACAAAUUGUUUGUACCACCAAAUACAUCAUGUUUUCCCUCGAACAGGAAAAGUCAAAACUUUUUGGAAGAAAUAGAAAGUCUUAAAGAGAGACAAGUUGAUCUAACUCAAAACUCCUUAUUUUCUCAUAAAGUCUUAGAUAAAUCUAUCAGGUGUGAUUAAUGUAACAUUUUGAAAAAGAAAAUUGAUGAUCUUCAAAACACACUUGGUAAAUUCACUAAAGAAAGAGACGACUUAUAUCUUUUGUUAAGUAACCAAAAGGCUCCUUAUGAUAAGGUUGGUUUUGAUUAUGAACCUAAGAACAAAAAUAAAAGAUUUAGAAAUAUGAAUGUAAAAAGAGAAAAAUGUAUUCUCAUAAUAUGUAUUCCACUAACAUCAAAGGACCAAAAAAGAUAUGGAUACCAAAGGUCGAAAAGUCAAAUUAUUAUGCAAAUGUGCUUGAUAACUUGAUUUAAAAAGAUGAUAUCGAUAGUUUCUCUUCAAGUCAUACAACUGAAGAAACAAAUAUGUUCUCUUAUCUCACUACUACAAAGAGAUAAGUUUAUUCACAUAAUAACUAUAAGGAAAAAUCAUUGAAUCUGUGAUUUUUUGCAAUAUCCCUAAUUUUAGCAAUAAUUGAUUAAAUAUUUUAUAUCACAAGUUACUUAGUAUUAAGUAAUUUUUAUAACAAAGAUAAUAAAUAAUUUCUUCUAUUUUCAUGGUUAAUAAAUCCUUUAAAUACAACCAUCUUCCUCUUUUAAAAUGUCCUCUCAAAAAGACCAUGAUUAUAGAAGAACUCACAUAUUACCUUUGUUGAAUUAACCCCUAGUAGGUAGAAGUAAAUAUCGUUAAUUGUGUAGGUAUCUUGGAAAAAACAUCUCUAGAGGAUGAAGAUAAAUAUCAAGAAGUAUAACAUGAUCAAGAUAAAGUUCAAUAUCAAAUCAUAAGUAAAGAAAAUUCUAUAGAUAAUCAAGAUCUUCCGAAGGAAUAAAGGAUGACCAAAAACAUCCUAUUUAUUAUGUAAUUUGUGAUAUCUCUAAGGGGAUUAUUACUUGACACUCUCUUAACAAGUUAUGUAACCUUAUGACCUUUUCUUCAAAAAUUGAGCCAAAGGAAAUUGAAGAAGCUAUCUUUGACAAAAAUUGGUCUCUUGCUAUGGAAGAAGAGUUUAAUCAAUUUGAAAGAAGCAAAAUUUGGGAGCUUGUUCUCAAAGAUUUAGCUUAUAUAAUGAUUGAAACCUUUAUUCUUUUAGAAAUAUUUUGAGGAAUAAAAUAAGACUCGUUGCAAAAGGUUACAAUCAACAGAAAUGCAUAAAUAUCGAUGAAACUUACGCUCUUGUAACUCAAUUAGAAGCCAUAAGAAUGAUUAUAUAUUGUUCAUUCAUUAUACGUUCUUAAACUCUCCCAAAUGGAUGUAAAAAGGAUGUUUUUGAAUGGUUACAUUCAGAAGGAAGUAUAUCAUCCUCCCAAAUUUAUAAAACCUUUCAUAGUCAUGCUUUUAAAAUGAAAAAGUCUCUCUACAAUCUAAAACAAGCUCAUAGAGCUUGGUUUGAUACAGUGAGCAAUUUUCUCCUUGAAAACAAGUUUCUAAGAAGGAAGGAUGAUACAAUUCUUUUUCAAACUGAGCAUUUUUUCUUGUGCAUAUUUUUGUCGAUUUGGUGCUACCAAAGAAUUCAUGGGAAAAGACGUUUCUAAAAUGAUACAUAUUAAAAUUGAAACAUGGGAAAGCUUCGGUACUAUCUUUGCUUACAAAUUCAUCUAUUAGAGGAAGCACCACUACGAACCAGUCAUACAACUUCAGUUGGUGAAGUGUUUUUAUAACUCUUUUCUGGGAGAUGUAAAGAAGCAUGUCAUGAAAAGUUCAACACUUUUUCCCAUCGAUUGAACAUCUAACCCAUGGGAAUUUUUUACUGGUCAUUGGUUUGAUCCCCAACAACAAAAAUUUUAUUUUCAUAAAAACAUGCUACUUUUCCUGACGGUUGUUAAAUUACCUAAGUUAAUACACACACACACGCACACACACACACACGCACAUACACACACACACACACACACACACACAAAUAUAUAUAUAUAUAUAUAUACAUAUAUAAGAAAUGGCAGCCUAAUGUGAUUACUAUAAAAGUUUAGACAUUUCUAAUCUAUUUGGAAAGCUUAUAGAACAUGAACACGAGUUCAAGAGACUCGAAGUAAGGAAGAAAAUAUGGGGAAAAAGGUUAAGGAGGAAAAGAGAAACAUCUCCUUAAAAUUCUCCACUUUCAAGGCUAAGGUAGAGGAAGAUGAAGAUGGUACCAAUGGCGAUUCUUUGAAAGAAUGAGAAAUGGGUUUGUUCCUAAAAUGUUACAAGAAGUUCAUAAAGAGAAAGUUUCUAAAGCAUUUUGAUAAAAAUUUGGUAAAGUUCAGAAAGUUUAACCCAUCAACGAAAUGGACAGAUAGGAAGAAAGAGCAAAGGAAAGUGAUCUAUUAUGAAUGUGGUGAAUCCACGCACUACAAUACUACUUUUCUAAUUUUAAAUAGGCACAAGAGGAAGCAAUCAUUCUACAUGAAGAAGGUCCAUAAAGCUAAAAGCCGUAGAACCUGUAUUUUUUGGGAAGAAGAUGAAGAAUCUUACUCCUACAACUCAAGUUCAUAUGAAGAUGAUUUGGCUCAUAUGGGCUUAAUAUAACGUCGUAAAGAAAAUACAAGGAGGUAUGUGAUGCAGACUCACAUUUUAAGCCUUCGUAUAAUGAGCUAUCGAAUGUUUUUCAAUAAAUGCAUGUUGAAGCAUUAAAUGAAAAAGAUUUUAAAACUUGAGGAAGAAAUAUUAAAUAUUUAAAAUGCUUUAUUCCUUGAAAGAGAAAUACGUGUCUCUUUUUAAUGAUAUGUUACAUAUAUCUAACACUUAGAAGAAAAGGGUGAUGUAGUUGAGUAUGAUACUUGUCCUAGUUUAGAACUUGAAAAUGAAAAUUUGAAAUGAUAAAUAACACAUCUCUAAAAUUCACUUAGUAUUAAUUCUAUUAGUUCAUGUGAAGAAAGGCAAAGUUUAAGAAAACCAUUUAAAGUUGCAUAUCUCACUAUAAAUAACGGAAGGAGUAACUCUCCUAAAGUUUUUUGUAAUUUUUAAGUAUAAAAAGGGUCAUAUUAGGCCUCUGUGUCACAUUAUAAAUGUAAAGGUCCCAAAAGGUAUAAUGAUAUGGAUUCCUAAAAGUAUUAAUACUAACCCCCAAAGACCCAACACAAGUUGGGAACCUAUAUUACCUCGUUAAUCAUCUUGGUGGAAUGUCUUAGCGCUACAAAAAGAAUGCAGUUUCUAGAUAGUGAUUGUUUAAGACAUAUGACGGGUGACACGCUGAUUUUAAUUGAUUUUAUGCAUAAAGAGAAUGGCCAUCUCACCUACGGAGAUAACAAAGGAGGUAAAAUAUCAGAUGAAUACUUUUUGGAAAUCCUUCCAUAACCACCAUUGAAAAUGUGUUGUUGGUUAAAGGGAUUAAACACAAUCUCUUAAGCCUUCAUCAAUUUUACGAUAAAUGAUUCUCUAUAACUUUUGAAACCCUAGGUUGAGUGAUUUAGCAUAGGUUGAUAAGAAAUAGGUGUUUAAGGCUUCUUGAGUUAAAAGAAUCUAUAUUCUUAGCUUAGGCGAUGGAUCAAAGAGUGGUACCAAAUGUUUAGUCACCUGGAGUGAAGACUCAUGGUUGUGGUGUAGGUGUUUUGGCCAUAUCCACUUUAAUCAACACAAGAUCAAUUUAAACAAGGCGUCUAAAUGGAAUUCUAUUGACCAAUUGAAUCCUUAUAACAUUAUAUAAACAAACAAAUUCAACUGCAACAAAUAUAAUACAUAUGACUCAAUCAAUACCAAACCUAAACUUAUGCAAGAAAUUAUUAUGAACAAAUUAAGCCUAACAACAUGUGAUUUUUAAGAAAUUGGUAAGAACCUAAACAUACAACUAUACAUAAAAUUAAAAUGAGAUAGGGAAAGAGAAUAUUGUACUAAGAUUUAUAUUGGUUGAACGCAUUUGUCCUUGCCUUAAACCUAAUCCAGUCUUCAACAGAGAACCAUUGAAAAUUUGUAGUCUUCCACUAUUUUGACAAUUUUAGAAUGCGCGUUUUAUAUAAUCAAGGAACUAGAUGCUGAAAUUUUAAAAAAAAAAUUAAUAGCUCCAAUAUAAAUCUUUCCUUCUUCUAUUUUACACAUCCCACGGAGCUGAAAUUCCAAGAUUUUCACUUAGUCUUAAUCUUCCUCUUACUCAGAUCUAAGACUCACUCCAGGUAUUUGUUCUGUAGCGAUCUUCAUUCGAUCCUACUGGUCCCAUGUCUGAGCUUUUAGUAUGUCUAAUGGAGAAAAACCUCCCAAAUUCGUUCUAAAACUACCUUUACUUGGAUCUAUUGAAGUUUUCAAUCGAGAAAAAAUCCUUUCUUUUUUCUCCUGUUGGAUUGUUGAUUCCCGAUAACACCACACAAUACGAAUUUUGAUCUAGCAACCCAAAAAGUUCACAAAAAUUAAAAAAAAAUGAACCUCCUCUAUGAUUAGUCUUAUACUCCCUAAGAAUUGAGAAGAGAAUACAUCAUGGUAAACUUUCUAGAGGUUGAGGAUGAAUUGGUGCACUUUGAAAGCUAAAAAAUAAUAUUUUGAAAGACUCUCAAAGUUAUGAUGUCAUGAUCGUCAUUUUUAAAAUGAAAUAAAUGUUGUAUAUAUGUACUUGAUAUAGACCACUAGAAAUGAGUAAAAACACCCAUUUCAUCUGAUUCACAUAUAAUGGGUAUUGUUGAAUAAGUGACUUCAACUACAAGCAGGGGGGGGGGGGGCUCGUGAGUUAUGGUAUUUAAAACCCGCGAUUAAUUUUAGGGUUUUGUUACUUAAACAAUAUAUCAUGUUAGUUUUAUUCAUUAUCGGAGUAAACUUAGUAGUGCAAUGUAAUGUAGUAAAGUAAAUUACAAAAGUAAAGAGAGAAGGAUUUAGAGAGAUUGUACCAGUGAUUUUUCCAGGUUUGGCCAAACGAUAUCAACUUUUAUCCUUAAGAGAUAUUCUUGAGAUUUUGACUAAAAACUUUUAGCUUUUAUAGGUUAUUCCAAAGAACCUUGAUACAAUCUGAUCUUGAGAUUUUACUAAGGCUUGUCCCCACCCAAUAAUAGAAGCUUUUAAUCAAGCUAAGUUAGUGAACCAAUCAAAUAUCUUCCAGGAUUAUCUCAUGAACCAAAAAGAACUUUUUCCAGCAAAGCCCUUCAAACCAACACAUAGUUUUUAUUAUUGGUUUAUGUCAGGAACCAAACUCGAUUUCCCAAUAAUAUCACACUCUUGAGAAUUAUAACAAUAACACGAACAAUAAAAUUUCUUCCUCACAAGUAGUUUUCAAUCAAUAACGCCAAUGCAACUUAAGUGAAAAAUAAAAAAUGUUUCUAGAGAGAGAGAAAUUCCAAAAAAAUAGAGAGCUUUGGAAAAUGAUGUGUAAUGAAGAGGAGGUGACCCUCAUUUAUAUAGGAGAUGAAAACAUCAGAAAAGUAAAAAAUCCAUGGGCCAUUUUAAUGUCCCAAUUGAUUGCCUCCUUGUCUCAAUCGAUUGGAUUAUUGAAUUUAAUCGAUUACCUUGUUCCAAUAUGCAAAGAUUGGAUAGAAACCUGUUACCAGUCAUUAAUGUGUUUUCCUAAUCUAUUAAGUAAUUGAUUAGGAUUCUUCCAAUUGAUUGGCUUAAGGUACCAAAUCGAUUUGGUAGUUCAGGAAUUCUUUUAAAAGGAUGCCAAUAAUAUCCUAGUCAACUAGAUUGGGCUUGAAAAUAAUUUUAAGGCUUUGAUAGUUAAAAAAAUUAAGUAUGUGUAUGUGUAUGUGUAUGUGUGUGUGUGUGAGUGUGUGUGUGUGUGACGGAGAGAGAGAGAGAGAGAGAGAGAGAGAGAGAGAGAAAGAGAGAGUUUCCUUAGUUUCUUAAGAGUUACUUCCCUAGUUUCAUAAAGAGAGAGAGAGAGAGAGAGAGAGAGAGAGAGAGAGAAAGAGAGAGUUUCCUUAGUUUCUUAAGAGUUACUUCCCUAGUUUCAUAAAACUCUAGUCAAUCAAACAACACAACUUGGCGAGCUUUCGCACUUUCUCUCUUUCACAACUCUGAGACCUUCAAGAUCCUUUGCAAGAUACAUCGAUCAUAUAAGAAAUUUAAUGGUUUCUUUAAUCUCUUUUUAUAUGAGGCUUGAGAUAUAUUUAGGUUUGGUAACAAUCAUAAUAGAGUUUGAAAGUUACUAACACCGACUUUAGUAGUCUUUGUAACACCCUAAACCCCGAAAAUCAUAUAAAAAUGUUUACUCAAAGAUUUAAGGCAUCACAACCGACAACCCUUCAACAAAACAUAGACACUUUAAAAACAUGAAACAGAAAAAUAAAAAACAUACAACACCUAUCAUCGCAUGCUCACCUUCACUUAGGGUAUCAUCACAUCAGAAUCACAUAAAUCGCAAUAAUAAAAUAGGUUAACUUCAAUUUGGUUCUUAUAAAGGCUUAACUUUCACAAAAUGAUUCAAAAGGAGUUUUAAUAUCCACUUCCAACAACUUCAAACAAAUCAACAUAAUAAUUAGAAACUUCAACAAAAAAAUACAUCGAUGUCAACCAUAAUAAAGAAAAUAUCGUUCUCCCCCAGUGUUACAGAAUCAGAGCAUAGCGGCUAAAAAUGCGAUAACUAAAUGAAAAUAACUUCAAGAGCUUUUUUCCACUCACAACAAUAACUCUACUUCUGAGUAUCUGCAAAAUGUCCAUGGGGGACAACAUCAAAGAAAUGAGGUCAAAAUUAACAUCAAUAUAUUAACGACAUAAAUUGUAAGGUAGAACUCAAACAUUUUUACACAUUCAACAAUAGUCACACAACAUCACUCUCACACCAAAAUCCAUCAACAUACACAAAGCUAUCACAUAUUCGUCUUUUAAAUCAUGUAAUGAGACUUACAUAACUUCAACUAGACUCAUAUGAAUGAGAUACCAUAUCACCAUCAAUUGAUUCACUUAGGAAUCGGGUUCACCCUGCUCAAAUAUGGGACAAGUCACCAAUCCACCUUGCUCGGGUUGCAACUUGCCUUUUUCAUCAAUAAUAAUGACAUAAUGAAUGCAUGGCACACCACGUCAAUGAAAAAAAACAUAAUGUUUAAAGUCCCUUCCCGAGAAUUAACAAAACAUAGAUUGACCCAAUGAUAAUAAUUCCUCCUGUGAACUAUCAUAUCAUCCCACAAUAACAUAAUCACAAAUAAGCGACAUCAGCCAUGCUCAUUCAACAACAUAUCAUUGAAGCUAGCAGAAAUAUAUCUGAACGUAUCACACGCUCGAACAUACAAUAGAGUAGUCAUAGAACUUUAUUUAUUCCAUAAGGAAAGGAAAAACAUUGAUAAAACCCAGGGGAAAGAGAUAUGUUGGGUAAGAAAGUCGGUUAUGCAAGGGGAAGGUAUUAGUACCCCAAACAUCCAUGGUACUCCAUGGGAACCAUUUUGAUUGUUCUCCCUCGAAUAGGCCUGAUAACUAAAGAUUACUCGCAAAAAAAUGGGGAAAGAAAAAGAAUAGAUAAAGUGCUCGGUGAGGGUCGGGGCCCUCAUGCCUACGUAUCCCCAUAGUGCAAUGAGGAAUUCAUAGCUUCGUAGUUCAAGGAACUAGAGGCGGGGGGAUGAAAAGAAUUAUGAUCAAAGUAUGGUCUGAACCAAAGAAUAGUGUUUUGAGCUCCAACAAGGGUGAAAAGAUAAACCCAAGAGUAAAAUGGCUAUUACCAGUACAUGGGCUAGUAAGACCGUCACUAUAGGGUAAUACGGAAAAGAUGAACAAAUAGGUGUUUGGGCACAACCCCAAACAUCUCUUGGUUCACAAGAUGACGCAAGAAGGAGCACAAAGAGGUAGUGUAUUUGGCUCAAAGGUUACUGGUAUAUCACAUGGAGCGAGUGAAGUUAUACUAUGAGUGUAUCAUGGUGAUGAAUGAAAUGAAGUGACCAAAGUCAUAGAAAUGAAUAUCUGGGGACAAGUGACUGAGGAAGUAUUGUUUGACAUCGAAAGUUGAAAGUGUAUUGGAAUCCAUAAGAGAAACGAGAUUUGUACCAUAGAGGGAAAUAGCUUUAACCGAUACGUGGACUAGUGGGACCGCCACUAUAGGGUGUUUAUACAAAAAAUGAGGAAUUAAGUGUUUGAGGGUGUAGCCCAAACAACUCUAGGUAGAAAUGAGGACUUUACAUUAGGCGUCCUAAAAGGGUGUACAUGAAAUUCCAAAGAAAGUAUAUUUCUAUGUCAAAGGAACAAUAUGUCACUGGGUGAAUAAUUUAUGAUCGAAGGUAGGUAAUGAAUAGUGGAAGAUAUGAACGGUUCCCUAAGGCGAAGGAGGAAUAAUUAGAGUAUGCUCGCCAAGGAUUCGCAUCCUCGUGCCUACGUAUUCUCAUUAUGCAAUGAAAAAGUCAGAGCAACCAUAGUUCGAAACCAUGAGAAAUAGGGAAAGAGACAUACAGUGAUGGAGAGUAUGACUAUUUCAAGAGAAUGGUAUCAAAAGGUAUUUGUACAAGCGACAGGGGACUCACGAGACAAACACCAUUUCAGAGGUUAACUGCCAUGAAACAAGGAGAGAGAGAUAUUUGUCUAAGCGACAGGGGAUUCACAAGAUAAACACCAAUUCAAGGAAUGAUUGCAGUACUGUAUAGUACAAGGAUAGUGUAUCACUGGAUGGGGAACAAAUAGUUCGAGAUCAAAAAGGAUAGUAUCUUGGAUCUAAGAAGGAUAUAAACUCUGAAUCAAAGACCAAGGUAGUCAUUUACCAGUACGUGGGCUAGUAAGACCGCCACUAUAGGGUAAAGCCAAAAACACACACUGAAUUAAGUGUUUGGGAAUAGUCGCAAACAACUCUCGAUCGAUGAGAUGGAUUAUCGCUGAGAUGUCCCAAAAGGAUAGACAAGGAGUCAAAUGAUAAGUAUGAUUGAUCUAAAAAAGGAUGGUAUUGAUAGAACGAAUGAAGAAUAAUUGAUUGACAAAUAGGGUAGCAAUAAAUAAAGUAGCUCGCGAAGAAUCUGGAUUCCCCUUUCUACGUAUCCUUAUAGUGCAAUAAGGAAAUCAGAGCUUUCAUAGUUCAUCCCAAUAUGGCUGAAAACAAGAAUGAUUGGAGGAAAAAUAAUGAUUGAAUGAUUGAAUGAUUGAAUAGAAAUGAAUAGAAUGGAGAGAUGAAAUGAGAGACUUGACAGUCGAUUAAUAAGAAUCACACUAAAGUCUAUGAAUAAGGGCGAACGCUUUGAAUAUUUGAGGCCUACGCCCCAUAUGGAAAGUCGCUCUAGACGAGGAUAAGAGAGACUCCGUCUUGUCAUUCCUUAUUACUUAAGGCUCAUAGCGCAUGGUACUUUUCUUAACUGACAAGUUGCUGGUGAAGAAUCUUCAUUGUUGAUCCUUGUGUUAAUGUUGAUUUGGUGUGAAGAAGACUUGGUAGUUUAAUCGAUUCGUAUUAUACUAAAGUCUAUGAAUAAGGUCAAACUCUUUGAAUAUUUGGGGCCUACGCUCCAUACGCAAAGUCGCUCUAGAAGAGGAUAUGAGAGACUCCAUCUCAUCAUUCCUUAAUGCUUAAGGCCCGUUUCGUACAAUAUGAAUCGUAUUUACCAAGUGUUGACCUUUGAUUUAUCUUGUAUAAACCGCUUCUUGGUGUGACUGAGGAUGCCUUGAUUAAAGUUCUUGACUUGAGGCUUCGAGCUCCACAGCUUAGAAUAAAAGUCUUAUUAAGUGAUCAAGGGUCUUUUGGUCACUCAAUUUAGAAUGUGGGAUUAUACAAGUCCAAAGGAUUUAAUCAAUCAAAAUUUCUUUGGAUCAAUUUCAAUCGGAGGGUUUGAAGUGAUUUUAGAAAACUAGGUUGAUCUUGAUCUAAUGGUUAGAAUUUAAUCAAACUAUCCUAAGGGAUCAUGUUAUCAUUAAUCGCAAAUCUAUGUUAAUUCUAUUCCUAAGGGAGCAUGUGAUGGUUGACUAAAAAUCUAUAUUAAAAUCCUAGGGGAAUAUGAAAUUAUGGGUCAAAAUUUCAUAAUAACCCCUAAAGGAUAAAAUGGUCCAUUCAUAGAAAUAUCCCAUUACGAACAAAUGAUUAUUUCCAAUUAAAGUCUAAUUUGAAAUUACAAAUUGAUUAGGUCAAAAAUUCUAAAAUUAGCCUAUGUUUAGAAAUUAACUACAUUCCAAAGUUAAGAUCUAAUUAGUUUCUAAUUUCUAUCUAAUUAACUAUAUUAAAAUCCAAUUAGACAAUCAUGGGAAAUGGAAGAAAACAAGGGAUCAAGAACUCACUGUAACCGAAGAUUUCGGCGGAGUUAGGUAAAUGCUUCUAUUUCCUUGCCUCUGGUUCGCCUGUCACUUAUUCUUCUUCUCUCGAUACUCCUUCUUCUUCUUCUUAUGGAUUGAGAGUGAGACCUUGAGGAGGUUUAAGCACAACAAAUUUGAAGCUCUAAUGGUGAGCUUCAAUUGUUUCUAGAGAGUGCGUAUAGUAAGGGUGAGGGAGAGGAAUCGUAAAUGAUUGGAAUGAGAGUGUAAUGAUUGCCAAUGGUUCAGAAGUGAUGGAGGUGAUGUAAAUUUAUAGGAGUUAGCUUUGGAUUAGUGUAGGUUAGGAGUUAAUUAUGAUUUAGGUUUGGAGGUUGCUUGGGAAACAGUUAGAAUGAACUCAGUGAGUUCAGUUGGUUAACUCAUUGAGUUAGAGGUUAGUUUGUGUAAUUUUAAGUUGGUUAAUUGGUUAUUUCAUUGGUGACUGGCUAUGGCAGGUUACACCUUAAGUGGAAUUGGCUCUGCAUCUCUGAUUGCUGACCUACUGAACAUGUUCCUCUUCUAAAGCUAAUUGUUAGUGACUUGAAUUACUUCUAGAUUGGUUUAGACAAUGACCUGUUUGCUUCAUUGGCCACUUCAUGAUGCAAUGUUGUUCUUUGAUGUAGUGUUAGAUUGUGACCAUUGCGCAUUGUUGCAGUACAAGCAUUGCAAGUCCAUUGUGUUAGCUGGUGGAGCAUGGUGUUGGCAUGUCUUGAUGACAGGUUUUAAAUUGCUGCAGUGUCGUUCUUGGUUGAUGUAGUUUAUCUCAGGUCAGAUGUUCCAACUCUAGUCAUUAUGCCACGAUCUAGUAUGCAUGGUUAUUGGUGUAUGUAUGUUUACACUUAAUCUGUUCCUGCAGGUUUGGAUGUUGCAAUGAUUUGGUUGGCAGGAUUUAGUCAAGUGGUUGUGUGCACUGCAGGUUUAUAGGUUGAAUUGUGGAGCUCACAUUGACUUAACAAGAUGUUUCAGUUGUGUACAAUAAGGCAUCAUGGUUUGGUUGCAACUCUCAUUUGACUUAUGCAUUUGGAAUGGUGGAGUGAUAUACUGGAGGUCAUGUUAGCUGCUGGUAUGCAGAUGGUUUUGUACUGCAUGCUUUAUUUGUAUAACAUGAAUGUUUGGCUUCAUAGGUUGUAGUACUGAUCCUCUCUUUGCCCUAUUAAAAUUUAGGAUGGCUCCUUCAUUUGUUUUCCUAUGAUUCUCCCGCUGGACAUCUUGUUAGCAUCCUUUGGAUCUGGAUAUGGAUCUAUACUAAACUCUAAUGGACAAUCACUUUCAUUGAAUGAAUGUGUGGUUUGCAGAAGCAUGUGAGAAGUGGGGUAAUGUUGUAGGCAGGAAGAAGUGCUUGGAAUGAUGCUUUGGUGAAGGUUAGUACAUGGAAGGGCUUCUGUCCAUUUAUUUUGCUAAAGUAAAGGUUGGUGGUUGGCGUAGCAUGAUACACUGCUUGGGCAAUUUUGCAGCUUGCUGAUGUGAACUGACUAUAUCCUGUUGCAGCUUGAAAUGUUGGUCGUAUGUAUUAUGCAGGUUUUUUCGUGGUGCCAUGGUGAUGCCAGGAAAAUGCAAAGUGUUGGGGCUCUUAUGAUGCAUGUAGGAUAGUCAUGAGGUAUUUGUUACUAAACUGAAAUAUAAUGCUCUGAUGUAUGCUUGUCAUGUCCCGUUGCUUCCUGUUGUGAAUUGUGGCUCGAGUUUGGUUCAUGGUAUGCUCAAAUGAAUGACCUUGAUUAAUGCAUAAUUUUUUGAUAUAUGUUUGCAGCUCCUGCUUGGCAACAUGUUGUUUUUUAGGUGCAUUCGCUUCAUGUUAAUGAUGAUGAGACUACUAUUAUCAAUGAUGUCAAGGUUGGAAUGGUAGAUUACUAUGCUUUGCUUUUGGUUUACAUCAUGUAAUAUUGUGCAGAACUACCUUGUUUGGCUUGUGGCAAGCUUUUGGAUAACUGUUGGUUGUGUCUUUGCAUUGCAGGAUGAUUUUCUACCAAGGAAAUGUUAAUUGCAAGUUAGCAUUAGGUCUUGCUUGCUUGUGCUUACAACAAAUUAUGGAUUAGUUAUUGACACACACUUAUGGCUUGUGAAUUGAUGAGGCUUUUUGCUGGUUUUAACUUUGUCUUGCAGGGAGUUUAGUUUUGGCUACUACAGGACCAUGAUGGCAGGAUGCUAGUGUAAGGUGUGUCAUGUUCAAAGCCAACAUUCACGUGCAUUAUUUGGUCAAAUUAGUCAUAUGUACAAUAUUUGAUCAUGUGGUUAGGGUGUUUGGUUAUUGUGAAUGCAGGACCAUGUUUAUCAAGGUAGAGUUAUAAUUGGCAAGACAAAAAUGACCAAGUCAUGGCAUGGUAAGCAUGAUUUUGAAAAUGGGCCAAGUUACUUGGAAAUGAAGAAACAAGGCAACAUCACAUCAACAUGACCUUUAGAUGAUGAAUCAAGGCAGAGUGGUUUAGAUUAGGUCUUAGGUGGUCAAAAAAGGGUGGGUUGACUUUGGUUAAAGUUGACCGAAAAGUCAAAUGUUGACUAAAGUCGCCACUUGGUCAGAGUUGUCAAAAUUUGUAUUUUUCCAUGUAAUGAUUAAUGUAGUGGAUUGUAAUGGUUUAAAUGGAUAGAAAAUGGUUUUGAAUGAGUGUGAUUGAAUAUUGAAUGGAUAUGAUUGAAAUGAACCAUGAAUAUGACUUUGGAUGAAGAUGAAUGACUUGAAUAAACCAAUAACAUGAAUCACCUUGAAUUGAACAGACAAUGAUAAACAUGAAACAAAUAUCCAUAAACCGAACACUAAGCAUUGAAUGUCAUGAAGUGGUUUUGGAUGGACAUAACCAGAUGAAACCAAACAAAUCAAGGGCUAGGCAAUUGAAAUGUACAAAUGAAAUGCCAUGUGAUAUAAGCAAAGGAUGUAAGUUUAUAGGAUCAAGACUUGGGCUAGGACCAAUGGCCUUAAGCACAGAUGAAUGGAACCAGAGCAAAAUCAACAUGAAUGAACCAAAUACAAGCGAUUAUGAGGGACAAUAACCAAGCAAGAGUGUCAAACACACAAUGGGUGAAGAACUGGGUGAAACUAGGGUUUGAAGACCAUCUAGAUGAAGGGUCAAGUUAUAAGAUUCCUUUGGACCAAAUCCUCCUUGAUCAGGGUUACCUGAGGCAUGCCCUUCAACCAAGGUUUUUGAAUUAACCAAGAUGCUUCACAAACAAAUCCUUAAUGGAUAUACCUUCCCAAUUAGGGUUUUGAUAGCCAAGAUAAAGCCCAGAGGAACUCUACAAAGCUUCAUGACCAUAUCAUCAAGUAUUAGGGUUAGAAAGCCUCGAGGAUUUCCUAGAUACCCCCUUGCUGAAUCCAUGCCUCUAUCAUCAAGAAAUUAGGGUUUUGAAGGCCCCUGAGCUUUGGUGCAAGUCCAAGCCACACCUUUCAAGUUAAUACACAAGCAAACCCUAGCUCUACAAGCCAAGAAUUUGGAAUCUAUGGUGAUCCCUUAAGGGAAUGAAUGAUGCUCAUGCAUGAGUUAUUAAUGUAUGCAACUGAACUCAAGUCAAGUGGUUGGAUGGAGAUAUGAAAAAUGAAGGGAAAUGUUUGGGGUACAACAACUUCCCCUAUUUUAUCUUCUUGAGCCUGAAUACAGGACUUGCGACAUCUUUUCAGGUAUUCGAGGUGGAAGAGGAUAAAAUACCGACGUAUCCAAAGAUUUGCUUGAACGGGUGGUCACACUGUUGACACAGGUCUCUGAUAUUUAUGUGGGGUCGUCAUGGCAGAGAGUAUGAUAUGCGUGGUUCAUGAUGUAUGCUUUAUUUUCAAGAUGCGUGCAUGUUUGAUUGGUUAGGCGUAUGUCAUUUGUGGGGGAUAUGGUUCUUUAUUACAGAGGAAACUCCGAGUCGUCAUCGAUUGUCAAAAGCUUAAUGAUAUUGUGCAGUCCGGGUGGGAACACUGCUGUCAAGGAUUCACUUAUCUGAUGGAGAAUACUAGGGCAUAAAACCAACAGGGUUGUCAUUUGGAUGUUCUCAGCGUUCAAACAAAACUUUAGGACUACCGGUCAUCUUUUAAGUUCGUCGGGUUUUUACAGUAAUGCAUAAUGUUUCCUUUUAGUGUAGCUUUUAUUAUUCUCCCAAAUUUUAAGGCAUUCUGCGAAUAAGAUAAAUCAGUUAUUUUGCAUACAAAAUACUGUAGAAGAAACGUACUUGAUGAAAUGAACUGAAUUUUAUUGAUGCGAAAUUGUACAUAUGGUGUGUACAAAUAUGCAAAUACCCUUGAUGAGAGUGUUGCCAAAAUUGAAAAAGUAAAUGAAAUGGCAAUUGGAAACAUUUUUUAUAUUUUUCCAUUAUUCACAAUUUUGGCCUUCAUCUACUGUAGAAUUUGAAUUCUGAGGCCUUGCUUUGAUUGACGAUGAUUGGAUUGUUCUUUGACUAUCUGAUAUCUAGCUUGUAGCGUGAUGGGCUCAAGGAUCAUAGUCAAUUCCUUUAUCCCUAACUUUUGCCUGGACAUUUUUCGUUCUUUUCGUCCACCAGGAUGCUCUUUUUUGCCUAAGUCGCCCUUUCGGGUUUUCGACUUAGCGGGAUUUGUAUUUGUUCCCUAACUUUUGCAUGGACAGUUCAUUUUUUGGUCCAUCGGGAUAACCAUUUUUGCCUAGAUUAAUUUUGUGAUGGUUAAUCUAGCGGCCUUUUGUCAUUUCUUUUUAGGCAAUAUUUUUUGACUAUGUCUGCAUUCACCAGCGAUGGCAAAUCUUCCCCAUCCAUUGUUGUGAGGAUUAGAGCCCCACCUUAGAAGGCCUUCUUGAUGACGAAAGGUCCCUCAUAGUUAGGAGUCCAUUUGCCUCAAGGAUCUGAGUGAAUAGAAGAAUACCUUUUGAGCACGGGUUCUCCUAUGCGGUACUCACGAGGAAGAACUUUCUUAUCAAAAGCUCGUUUGAGACGUCUUUGAUACAACUGACCAUGACAAAUGGCCGUCAAACGCUUUUCUUUGAUCAGAUUCAGCUGGUCACACCCUGAUUGAACCCAUUCAGCUUCAUCGAGGCCAGCCUCCAUGAUGACUCUGAGUGAAGGGAUCUCGACUUCAAUUUGUAGGACAACUUCCAUCCCAUAAACCAAUGAGUAUGGAGUUUCCCCAGUGGAUGCGCGGACCGAGGUUCUAUAACCGUGUAGAGCAAAUGACAACAUCUCAUGCCAGUCCUUGUGUGUCUUGACCAUUUUCUGGACGUUUCUCUUGAUGUUCUUAUUAGAUGCUUCUACUGUGCCGUUCAUCUUGGGCCGAUAUGGUGAAGAGUUGUGGUGCUCGAUCUUGAAUUCUUCGUAUAACUCCUUCAUCAUGUUGUUGUUGAGAAUAUUGGCAUUGUCAGUGAUGAUCUUGCUAGGUAUCUUAUAGCGACAGAUUAUCUCUUUCUUGAUAAACUGUGUAACCACCUAUCGAGUUACAUUGGCAUAUGAAGCAGCUUCGACCCAUUUUGUGAGCUAAUCAAUGGCGUCUAGGAUGAAUCGAUGACCAUUGGAAGCUUUAGGCUCUAUCAUCCUAAUCAUAUCAAUACCCCACGUAGAAAAAAGCCAUGGAGAAGUCAAAACAUUCAAUGGUGUCGGUGGCACAAAGAUCUUGUCCUCAUAGCUCUGGCAUUUGUGACAUCUUCUAACAAAGUUGUAACAGUCGACCUCCAUUAUCGUCCAGUAAUACCCAGUCGAAGGAUCUUCUUAGCCAUAACAUGAACUUUUGCAUGUACGCCCUCACAACCUUCAUGUAUGGAUUUUAUGAUCAUACUAGCUUCGUGUCUAUCCACGCAUCUGAGCAGUACAAAAUGAUAAUUUUUCUUGUAUAACACAUCACCGUUUAGGAAGAACUUGGAAGAGAGUCUUCUUAGAUCCUUCUUAUCAGUAAUGGAUAUACCCUCGGGAUAUUGUUGUUUCUCCAGAAAUGUCUUUAUGACAUAGAACCAGGGUUUAUCAUCAGGAUCGACCUCGAUUGCUAGACAAUGCGCUGGUUCAUCUAAGUGGUCAAUAUGGAUAGUUAGUGCUUCAUUCUUCCAUUUGACCUUGAACAUAGAUGCCAACAUAGCUAGAGCAUCUACUAACUGAUUUUCUUCCCUGGGAAUAUGAUGAAAGGAGAUUUCAUCAAAGUAGGGUACUAGUUUUCUUAUAUGCUCUUUAUAAGGUAUUAACUUGCUAUCCCGAGUCUCCCAAUCACCUUUUACCUGGCUUAUUACCAGAGUCGAAUCACCGUAUACCUAAAUGUAGCGGUGUAUUCAUCGCCUUUAUGAUUUAUUGACUAAAUCAAAAGCAAAGCAUACAAAGAUAGAGUCGCCACCGCACUUCUAUUUAUCCAAAGGAAUGGCUAGAAAGCGAACAAAAGCCUAAGAAGUUUUACGCAAAGAAAACUAAUAAAAGGUCAUAGAUUGGGUAAGGUAAUUAUGUUGUGGGAAGGUGUUAGGCACCCACAACAUCCUAGGUACUCCUAGGGAACCUCUUUUCACAACUUGUUGUAAAAAUUAUUUGUUUAUGAAAUUAUUUUGUGCAAACAUUGAUUGAAAAGAUGAGAAAAGAAUAUACAAUUUUUAUUAUUUUUGUGUUUGAAUGGAUGAACCCAUUGCCUACGUACCUUUUCAUGAAAGAUAAGGAUCAAAACGCCGUAGUUCGGCUAAAGAUUUCCGAAAAAAUGAGUGGAUUGAUUUUAAACAAAAGCCUUAAGGUCUUUCAUUAUCAACGGGAGAACACUCAACCUGAACCAACAAUCCACCAUGUGAGAACAGCUUCAACAUGCUAGUGAGGGGUUAACCCUAUAAUAAGCAUGGAAGUCUUACAAUUCAAUCACUAAGGAUGCAGUGAGAUUUACAUCAACCACUAUGAUAACUCAGAUCUAUGGCUAAUGUAUGAAAACUUGAUCAAGAAAUGGACAAGGGCCACAAAAAAGCAAUUGAGUGAGUGAAAUUAACCAACUAGAAGUAUUCACAAAGAUGGUCAAAGUUGGCAUUAAAGUUCAAUUCAGAAGAAGUAUUAUGAAAAUGAAGUUUGAAAAUCAGAGGCUUAAGGCCUAGGUUUCUAGUUUGAAAACAGAUAAAAAUGUUUGCACAAAGUUUUCUGGUUUGGGUUACAAAUGCAAGUGGAGGUUGUAAGGAAACAAAAGGUGGGGAUGAGGAGUAAUACUUCAUUAGGAGUUCCUCUCUUGAGAUCGUAUGUAACAAAACUGGAAAUGGAUGGCCAAUCAAUGGUCUUAUAUCCAAGUCCGAAAACAAAUGGGAAAUGGAGUGCCAAUAAAUGGUCUUACGUCCAACUCCACAAAGCAACAUGGGAAACAGAUAGCCAAUCAAUGGUCUUACAUGUAACUCCACAGAGAAACAAACACAGAUAGGAAACAGAUAGCCAAUCAAUGGUCUUAUAUCUGACUCCACAGAGAAACAAACACAGAUAGGAAACAGAUAGCCAAUCAAUGGUCUUAUAUCUGACUCCACAAAACAAAACAAUAUAGGAAAUGGAGUGCCAAUCAAUGGUCUUAUAUCCAGCUCCCCAAAAGGAACAAGAAAGAGAUAGCCAAUCAAUGGUCUUACACCUGACUCCACAAGAGAAAACAAAAUAGGAAACAGAUAGCCAAUCAAUGGUCUUAUAUUUGACUCCACAAAAGAAAACACAUAACAAAUGCAAAACAAACAUAUGAAUGAUGCACAAAUAAGCAAACAAGCAAUCAAUUAUCACACGCUAUACACACCCAAGAGGCUCAUACAAGGUUGGGCUUUAGUCAAGGGGUCAUAUCGACCUUGACAAACAAGCCAAAUACUGGAAGGGGUGUCAGGCUCUUAACCUCUGACAUUGACCGUCAGGGUGAGCAGAUGAAAUGGGAGAUGAGGGUUAGACCUCAUAGCUCUUAACCCUGGCCGGGGUGAGCUUGAAUCAAAGAAGGUGUGGGAGUCCAGAAUGUAGGAACUUUACUCCAUAAUGAUUGACUCUAUAUACAAUGAUCUUGGGGUGUUUAUUCAAAUGCAUCAGCACGUAGUGCGAGCAAUAUGAAAGACUCCACUGAAUAGAAGGGGAUGGAUUGCACAUCCCUUCUAUCUGCCAAUGCCUAUUCACUUAGGAGGUCUUAAUAUGUAACCAUGCCUCAUUGAGGUCUUUAGCACAAAUUAAACAAUCAAGAACUGGCCUCUUAAGAGGGCUUCAGACAGGUGCCUGCCAAAGAUAGCAGGUCUUCCAUACUACAUGGAGUUAAAGAGAUUACCUAAGUGGUAUGCCAACCACAAGCAAAGAAAAGCAACUCAAUAAUGAGUUAAGCUACUAAAGUACCUGUUAAGAAAAUCAAACAAGUCAAUAUUCACAUUCAGACAAACUAAACAGACAGUCAACAUUGAGACAACCAAUAUACACAAUGUAAGUCAACAACUCAAGUGAGUUAGCCACCCAAGGACCUACAACACAAUCAACGUUAGUUAAACAAAGCAAAUUGUAUCUCAAGCAAGGAGAUCACAUCAUUCAUUAGGACUUAUUGAUUGAACCUGAAAGGCAAAGCUCAAAUUGUGAGUACAAACCCCUAGGACAAAGCCUAGGGUCACAGGUAAGUCAAAAAGUCAAAACAGCAACCAAUAUUCAACAUAAAGCUCAUUUAAUCAAUCAUGAACAUGUCCUAAAAAGGACCAAGUCAAAAGCAUUAAGCAAAGUCAUCUCAUGAGCAAGAUAUGGAAAAGACAAUUUCAAAGCACACAAUUGAUCAUCAAGAAACAAAAUUCCAUAUUAAAACAGAAAUGAAUCAAAUAAUCCUAGAAACUUUUAUGAGCAUACAACAUGUCCAACACAAUCAUCAUGCCAAAAAUUAUCAUCAGAGAAGCUCAUUCGAUAUGGAUAUGAAAAUGAAUAAGAUCAACAUCAAAUUGUGUGACACACAUUGUCACACCAUACAAUCACAUGCCUAAAACAGAGAGAGAAAAUGCUAAAAAUGCACAACCAAGCCUCAAAAAUCAAGCAACAUGUUGGGAAUCAGCAUACAAAAUUUCAUGGCAAUUGGAUCAUUAUUGAGCAUUUCACAAUAGAAUGAAUGAAGCAUGGUACAUUUUGCAUACAUGUCCAAUCAACAGUCCACAAUCAAAAAUCCAGAGAUGAUAAAAUCAUGAAACCACCACCAAAAAAUAAUAGACAAACACAUGAAAAUAUAGAAAAAAAUUGGGAAUUAAUUGGAUGCAUAUUCUAUUUUUAGUGAUUUUUUGAAUGUGAUGAAACUAUUUGAAAUGAAAAUGAUCAUGCACAUGUUAAAUUGGAGGGAAAGGUAAUGUUGGAAUUAAUUUGAAAAUGUGGCACCGGCUGGAACCGAACCUGGUACGCACAAAAAUGAAGCGCUAAAGCAAUUAAAAUUCCAAAACGCAAAUGCUGGGAAUCGAAGGGGGUUAGGCCAAAACGCAGCACUUCAUUUAUGAAGUGGCGUGCCAACUCAGCGGUCAAUGCGCAUGUGGCGCAGGUCAAGCAAACCGGAUCCAAUUGUUUUGACAAUAGGCGUGGUGUGUGGCAGCUGACUGGGAUGAAAACCCUAGCGUUCAAGGCCUGUUGUAGACAGCGGAGCCUGCGGUGGCCAGGGGUGGUUUCCACCGUCUUCCUCAUGAAGACGGUGGUUGCUACAAUGAACGCAACCAAAAAUUUCUCCAGAAAUGCACAAAAAUUAUACCAAUGGAAAGCUCAUGACAUGUACAUUCUAAAUCCAGCAUCAAUUCAUAUUAAUUCAUCACAACAAGUGCAAAUCAAAUCAAAACAUUCUUCACAUACAAAACUUCUAUCCAGCAUAACUCAUGCAAUUAUUAUCCAAAUUCCAUGAAAUCUAUAUCAGAAUUUUCAGCGUGAGGAGAUCUACCUAAACAUGGAAAUGGAUGAAGAAUUAUGAGAUUCGAGUUUUUACCUCUUGAAGAGCAGAACAAUGAAAUAGUGGAUCCAAGGCCUUGCAAGUGUCCAGAUCAACUCCUGAGAUGAUAUAAUAAAUUUUGAUGUAUGAAUUGAAGCUUGGAGAUGCUUGGAUCUAGCUCAAAAGUCAGUUUCCAUCUUCAUGUUCUUGAGCUUCAUGUGCUUAAUUUCCACUCGAAUUCUUCAAAUCAAAGCUUGAUCUGCACUAAAUGAGGGUCAGAGAACAAGAAUAUGCAAUGAAAUCAAUGGCUUAUGUGGAAGAAAUUCAAGUUUCAAUGGAGAGAAAAAUUUGGAGGGAAGAGAAAUUUGGAUCUAGAAUGAGCAAAAAACUCCAGAAUUCUGUUAUGAUUUAGUAUUUAUAUGGUCUCCUAAUCAUGCUGAAAAAUGUAAUUAGUAAUGGUUAAUUGAAAUUAGCAAAAAUAAGAUGUAUGACAAAAAUUGAAAAAUGUGAGGUGCAUGGAGCAUUUGGACGUGAACAGUAGCAUAUGGAUGCUCAAAUUCACUUAAAAUCUUCCAAUGAACACAAUGGCAAUGGUAAUUUCGAGUACACUAAUUGGUUAAUUGAAUUUGCAAAUUUCCCUCCAAAAUGGUCAUGAAUGAGCAAAUGGUCAUAUGAUGAAAUUUCAUGCAAUGUAAUGAAUGAUUUGGAAAAUACAUGUCAUGAGAAACAAUAUGCAAAAAGAGGCACUCAAUUUGGAGUUUUGGUUCAAAAGUUAUGCCUUGUUGAAGUUCCAUGUACACUUGGCAAUGAUUGGAUCAUAUCUCCUCAACCAUUCAUUAGAUGAUCAUGAUCUUGGACUUUUUAGAAAUAAGAGAGAGAGGUCUUCAACUUUCAUGUUGGACAAAAAUUCAUUUGAAGCUUCUUUGAUGUUGGAAAGUUGAGUUGAAAUUGGUCCAAAAACUUUCUAUUUUUGGAAACUUGAAAUUACAGGUCACUUUCCAUUUUAGGAAACUUUUGACUUAACCUCAAAAUCUUCAAUGUAGAUGUUUGACAUGAUGAAUAAGCCUUGUUUCAACAUGAAUGGGAUGAAGAAAUUCAAUUCUCACACUCAAAGCCCUCAAUUGACUUUCAGUUGACUUGCAUUGGUCCUUAGAUGACCUGAAAAUAUUCUGAUGAACUUGGGCCUUUGCCACUUGGGAAAUUUGCUCCAAAAUGAACCUCUAGCUCAUAUAAGCUCAAAAUAAUGAUCACAUGAUCCAUAUCUCAAUGGAAAACCUCAUCUUUUGCACAGAGGAUUCACUUGAUAUGCCUUGACCUGUUGACUGCUUAAACUGCAAGACAAAUGUUAGAUGACAUAUUUUUGUAUAUUUUGGUUAGUGAUUAAACAAGAAAUGCAAAUGAUAUAUAAUGCAAGCAAUGCUUGGUGAUCAAAGAAUCACUCACAUGGAUAUAUCCCACCCACAGGGAAGGAAACAAGGUGCUCAAUGAUCCUUGAGGUUAUGCAAUGCUAUGAUAUGAUGCAUUGAGGGAUGUUAGGGACAAAAUUGGGGUCUUACACUAAUAAAUCUUGAUCCUUAAGUCGAUGGCCACCUCCAGACCAUAGAUGCAUGUUUCAUAUUCUGCCAUAUUGUUGGUGCAGUCAAAACAUAAUCUAGCAGUAUAUGGAAGGUGGAAACCGGUCAGAGAAGUAGUAACAACGCAUAUGCCAUGGCCACAAGCAUUGGAAGCACCGUCGAACAUGAGUGUCCAUCGUGAUCCUAGUUCGGGGCCUUCUCAGGGCUUAUCUCGGAGCCUGGCAUAGUGAAGUCUCUGAUAAACAUGAUGUCUUUGUCCGGAAAGUCAAACCUUAAUGGUUGAUAACCUUCGACAGGUAGGUGAGCAAGGUAUUUAGACAAAACACUUCCCUUUUUGGUUCUGAAGGAACUUUUCUUGAAGUUCUCUUUUCUGGAGCUUUCUUUCCUUAACUUGGGACAUUCGUUUCUGUAAUUACCUGUUUCCUUACAUUCAUAACAAGUUAUAUCUUUGUUAGAUUUACCUUUUGAAAUUGGUUCUGAUCGAUAUCCUUUGGAUCUUGGUAUUCUGAAGUUAUUAUUCCUUUUUCUCCAGAGUUGUUUUACUCUUCUGGUUAAAAAGGAUAAUUCUUCCUCAUCGUCAGAGUCUUCCUUUUCAGAGUCAUCAAUUUCUUCUUCUUCAGCCUGGAAGGCUUUGUUUCUAUCAGACUUGCGUCUUUCUGAUAUGGACUUUAGUGCUACAGACUUGAUCUUCUUCUGAGGCUCAUCUUCCUCCAGUUCUAUCUCAUGACUUCUGAGUGAACUGACGAGUUCUUUAAGGCUGAUGUUGUUCAGAUCCUUUGAUAGUUUUAAGGUUGUGACCAUGGGUCUCCAUUUCUUUGGCAAGCUUUUGAUGAUCUUUUUGACAUGGUCCGCAGUUGUAUGUCCUUUAUCUAGCACUUUGAGUCCUGUAAUUAAAGUUUAGAAUCUAGAAAACAUUACCUCUACAGCUUCAUUGUCCUCCAUUUUGAAGGCUUCAUACUUCUGGAUUAGAGUCAGAGCCUUUGUUUCUUUGACCUGAGAGUUUCCUUCGUGAGUCAUCCUCAGGGAGUCAAGUAUCUCUUUAGCUGUUUCCCUGUUGGGGAUUUUUUCAUAUUCAUUGUAGGAAAUGGCAUUGAGAAGUAUCGUUCUGGCUUUAUGAUGGUUCUUGAAUUCACCCUUCUGAUCAUCUGACAUUUUGCUUCUGGGAAUGGCAACUCCAGCCUCUAUCAUAGGUGGUAUGUAGCCAAUUGUGACAAUGUCCCAGAGAUCAGUGUCGUAGCCCAGAAAGAAACUUUCAAUUCUAUCUUUCCAAUAAUCAAAUUUCUCUCCAUGAAAGACUGGAGGUUUAGCGUUGUAACUAUCUCUUUCAUUUGUGUUGGCCAUAGUUUUUCUCACUCUGGAUCUCUCUACAUUGUUAAGUGUUUGAUUAGAAAAUCAAAAACAGAGCCGAAGCUCUGAUACCAACUGAAGGUGAUAAAAACAAGAAAGCGGGGGUUUGAAUUGUUUUGGAAAUAAAAUCUUUUUCAAAGAAUAAGAACACACAAAAUUUUAUACUGGUUCGCUUAAUCCACUAAUCUUGAAAGAUUACACAACCAAUCGUCUAAGAGAAUAAUCUCUUAGCCCUCUCAAGUAUACAGACUGCACAGAGUCACUUGAGGAACAAAAAUAAUUUAAGCAAAAUAGAGUUGUAAUGUAAAGCGCUUCUAAGAGUAAGCGAGUAUUACAGAAAAGUAUUAGAACAAGAGUUUUUCACGUAAGAGCAGCAACUGGUUAAAAAAAAAGAGAGAGAAUAUGAAUGAAGUUUUUGUGCGUCGCAGAUGUGUCUCUCUAGAGAAGGAAAUUGUCCUUUAUAUAAUAGUUGAGAAGGACCGUUGGAGUGAUGACAAAAUCUUGGUCUUUGAUAAGUAUUCAAUGUCAUUACUUUUAUUGUUUCUUUCUAUAAUCAUUUUGUAUCCCUUUUAAAUUCUUUCUUAAAAUACUUCCUUUCCAUAGUGAGAAUUAUUUCCGUUAUGCUUUCUGGACUUCUGAAUCUUUAUCAGAUUCUUGAUGUACCAGAGUUAAUCUUCAGAGGAUGAUCACGUCUGACUUCAUCAGAGCUUCUCAGAGUACUAGUCUUCUAAAGUAUCAGAGUCUAAGACCAGUUGUUUGUUGGAGCUUCCGGUUCUUUUCGCUGUCUUUCUUUGAUCAGAAUCAGAGCUUCUUGGACGUACUCCUUUCUUAGCGCGUCUCAUCCUCUACUACUUUGUAUCUGACAUACGUUUGUAUCUGAUAUAUGAUCAGAGUCCUUCGUAACUGUUCAGAGUCGGGCAUGAGUGUUCAGAGUCCUGCAUACUUAGAAAAAAUCUCGUUAGAGUGCCAUGUUUGGUUUCAUCCUUUGUUAUCAUCAAAAUCUUAUAAAUCUAUUGUAGAACCAGUUUUGUUCUUACAUCACAUUCAGUGAAUUUCUUGCUAAGAUAGUAGAUAACAUGUUCUUUCUUGCCUAUGUCAUCAUGUUGACCCAAAACGCAACCCAUAGAUUCAUCGAGUAUGAUAAGGUACAUAAUGAGGGGCCUACCAGGAACCGAUUGUAUUAGGAUUGAUGUCUCUUGUAAGUACUUUUUCAUUUUGUCGAAUGCCGCUUGGCAAUCGUCGUUCCACACAAUCGAUUGAUUCUUUCUCAAUAGUCGGAAUAUCGGUUUGCAGGUAGCCGUUAAGUAUGAUAUGAAUCUGGAGAUGUAGUUGAGUCGACUAAGGAAACCUCAAACUUCUUUUUCUGUUCGGGGAGAUGGCAUUUCUUGGAUGGCUCAAACUUUGUCGGGAUCAACCUCAAUACCCUUCUGACUGACUAUGAAACCCAAGAGCUUACUGGAUCGAACCCCAAAAGUGCAUUUAGAUGGAUUCAGACGCAACUUGAACUUUCAGAGUCUGACAAACAAUUUCCUCAGAUUCACCAAGUGAUCUUCCUCAGUUCUGGAUUUGGCGAUCAUGUCGUCCACGUAAACCUCAAUCUCUUCAUGAAUCAUAUCGUGAAAGAGGGUUACCAUGGCACGUUGAUAUGUUGCCCUUGCAUUCUUCAAGCCGAACGACAUUACUUUGUAGCAGUAAGUUACCCAAGGUGUGAUGAAAGUUGUCUUCUCCAUAUCUUCUGGCGAUAUCUUUAUCUGAUUAUACCAGGAGAACCCAUCCAUGAAAGAAAAGAUGGAAAACUGAGUUGUAUUAUCAACCAAAACAUCAAUAUGAGGUAAAGGGAAGUCAUCCUUCGGACUCCCUCUAUUGAGGUCUCGGUCAUCUACAUAAUUCUGACUUUACCAUCUUUCUUCGGGACUGGAACGAUAUUAGCGACCCACUGUGGAUACUCAAAGAUGGCCAAAAAUCCAGCAUCAAAUUGCAUCAUAAACUCUUCCUUGAUCUUGAGUACCAUGUCAGGUCUAGUCCUUCUGAGCUUUUGCUUGACGGGAGGACAUUUAGGUUUGAGUGGAAAGUGAUGUUCAAUGAUGCUGGUGUCUAACCCUGACAUAUCUUGAUACGACCAAGAGAAGACGUCAACAUACUCUUCCAAUAACUCUACCAACUCGGAGUGUACAUGCUUGGCAAGAGAUGCCCCAACUUUUACUUCUUUUUUAUCGGUUUUAGAACCCAGAUUAAUGACAUCCACUAGUUCUUUAUACGGCUGAAUCUCUUUUUCUUCGUGCUCAAUGAGCCGCGCUAGUUCAACUGGUAAUUCACAAUCCUCCUCACUGUCAUAUUCAGCUUGGUUGAUUGGAAAUCUAGAAUUACAACUGAUUCUUUCCAUAUUGUAAUCAAUGGUUUUGUUUGCUCUGCAUAUGAUGAGCUUAUUUUAGUAUGCUUUUUUAAUAAAAGUGAAAAAAGGAGAAAGAAAUCUUUUUCCAUUUCGUAGUUUUUAGUGAAAAAGUAAAAUAACUAAUAGAAAGGGGAAGACAAGUUUUGCAUGCAAAAAGUAUUUUUUAUUCAUUCACAUAAUACUUUUAAACAUGGAGGCCCUUACAAGCUAUCCUCUCGUUUCGGGCGAAGACGGGGGAUCGAGAAAACAAAAUGAAUUAUGUUUUUUCCAAGUAUACUAUGGGAAUCACGGUAGUCGUCCAGUUGGGGAGCUUGGACUCUGGAGGACAUCUGCGCAUGAGGCUAGGCGUCUCUGGUUUGCUGCCACUAGGUUCUCCAAUGACUGUCACAGUAUGAUCAUUUUGAAGGUCGGCGCUGCUGAAUUUGACCGGGUUGAACUUCUUCUUAUUUGGGCUUGCCUUGCAUGCUAAUGGGUGCUAACCGGUGCCAAAUUUGUCGCGUUUCUCUGCCACGUUAAUAACUUUACCCCAACCGGGAAGUGGGCCUUUCUCCAAUGUCUGAUUGGCGCUUCUAACUGAAUAUAGAACAGUGGUGGGUGAUUAGUCAUGAUUUGCGGUAACAGAGAUAACUUUUUCAAAUUCUAAAUAGUGGAGCAGAAUCUCAACAAUCCCUUCAUCUGUCUCAACAUAUCUGAAUAACGAGAGUUCGCUAACCAAUAGAUCCUCUUCACCACACACGAUUACUAGUUUAUCAUCAAUCAAGAACUUCAUCCUUUGGUGCAGCAUAGAGGUGACUUCCCUAGCGGCAUGAAUCCAAGGCCUGCCUAACAAACAACUAUAAGCUGGGUUGAUAUCCGUGACUUGGAAGGUUAUGCUGAACUGGUGAGGUCUAACACAAAUGGGCAGAUCAACUUCCCCAAUAACCAGUCUUCGGGAACCAUAAAAAGCUCAGACAAUUAGUGUGAUGGUCCUCAUCUCGGGCCCUUUAAACUAUAAUUGGCUUAAUGUAGCUUUUUGCAGUACAUUAAGCAAAGAACUAGUGUCAACGAGGACUCAAGAUAGAAGAAAGUUUGUGCACAUGAAUGAAAUGUGUAGUGCUUUAUUAUGGGUGUUUCCCUCAGGAGAUAAUUCUACUUCAUUAAACCCUGAAUACCUAUCGACAAUGAUAUUCGCAACCACAUCAUUAAAUUGAUCGACAAUGAUAUCUUGUAUCACAUGAGCGACAUUCAGAACUUUCAGCAAUGCUUUGCGGUGAGCCUCAGAACUCAACAGCAAAGACAAAAGGGAAAUUAUGGAAGGAGUCUGGUUCAACUGAUUGAUGAUCUUGAAGUCACUCUUUUUGAUCAAUUUGAGGAAUUCCUGACUUUCCUCAAAAGUGAUUCUCUUCCUGUGAUCUUCAACUUGCUCAUUCUCAACCAUCGGCCCUUUAUCCUUAGACGCUUCUGAAUCUGCAGCUUUGCUGGUAAUAGCAUUCGUCGGCGUUGAAUCCUCUUGGGAGGAGCUUCAAACUUUUUCUUCCUAUACGUAAUAGUUAUUGGUUCUGUAGCGGUAAAUUCAUGAUCAUCAAGCUAUGGAUAAGCUAGAGAUCAAAUAACAAGAGUCACCACUGCGCUUUUAUUGUUUCCAAGGGAAAAGGGAAAAAGUACGAACAAAACCCAAAAGUAAGAAGUUUUCAAAUCAAAACUAAUAAAAUAUUAGAGAUUACAGAUGUCACACCCCAAUUUUCACCCUGAAUCGCUGAUUCAAUACAUUCAUCAUAGUUCUUGCAUGUUUACAUAGCAUACUAUGCAUUCCAUACCGCAUAGUGCCUAAAAUAUCAGUCGAAACAAUAUUUUUGGAUCUACAGACAAACCGGUUGAAUUAAUCAACGGAUGUGCGUCAAAUCAGUGAACAAAAAAUUUUAAAAUCAAGCUUCUAGACAUCAAUUCUAUUAAUCUAUGUUUCGCGUAGUUUAAUCUGGUAUGCUCGAUUUAUUUUUCAGCUAAUUUUUCGGCCACUUUUUGAUAAGCUCGAGCCUGUUUAACCGGUCAAAUUUAUUUCAAAAUUUAAAGAAACGCUGAAUUUUUUCAAUAAGUUUAUUUCGCACUGAUCAUUUUGGUGCAUUCAAUUUAAUUUUUCGAGCGAUUUCGCACCUGAUUUUUAUUCAUUUUAAAUCCGUUUAUUUUCAUUAUUGUGUCAGAAAAAUAAAAAUAAAUAAAUAGGUAUAAUCAUGCUCUCAUUUUAAUUUUAUCAUGUGAAGUUUAUUUAAUUUAAUUGAUUUAAAUUGAUUAAAACUUCUAUAAAGGGUAAGCUAGGCAAUUUAAAUUAGUUAACAAAUUGUGUUUCUUUAGUUUGAUCUUGACCGUCGGUCUCACUUAAUCAAAAGCCUAGAAUUUCUAUCCAUGUUUUUCUCUCUUAGCCAAUAGAAGAUAAGGAAAUAAAGAAAAAAUAAAAAAAAAUUAAAUAAAAUGGGUGGAAAAACUCCCCCCAUUUUUCUUUGCCGACAACCCACGUCACCCUUUCUGGUACCACAACUUUCACUCCUUCCAAUUGCAUUGUGCCACGUGAACCCUUUAGUUGGAAAAUGAAAAUGUAAAGAAUCUGAAAACUCUUCACUUUUUCAGGGGAGACCUUCAACUUUUUCUUCUUCCAUUCUCUCCCAAUUCACUCCUCCUUCUCCUCUCAUCAAAACCACAUCUCCACUACCCACUCUCUCCCCACUAACAAAAAAGAAACUUUUUUCUGAAAACCUCAACAGUAACGAACCACUUCUUCUUACCUCAAACUUCUUCUUCUUCCCCACCACAAAUCGUCACCCACCGUUUUCCGCCCUUCACCCACCAUAUCCGGCGAACCACCGACCAUAUCCAACACUCACCGUCCGUCAUCACUUCCUCCAAACUCCUUCCGCCACGGUAACUACCACCACCGCCACUCUCUCCUUCGACAUCUCUCUCCUUCGCUGACAUCACCCAUUUCUUCACCAUAAAUCACCGCGUGAAUCGUCGAUAUCAUCGCGUCCACAAACCCAUUCACUACUCAACAAUGUGCCUCACGCCGUUAACCUCUCAAUGCUUAACCCUCUCCACUCGCACCCUCAUCUCCAAUCUCCCUCGACACCAUCCUUCCACCACUUCCAAGUUGUCGUGAAAAGAAACUAAACCUCACCGGAGACGAAAUCCCUCAGUCUGUGUCAAUAUUUGUGUCCAACGAACUCCCACCGCCAAGACGACAUCUACAACCUCCAUUUUCGGAAGCUCAUACAAGAUCAACCAACAACAUCGAUUUUCUCAGAUCCAAACUAAAGUCUUUUUUCAUGGCAGUCACGAAGCAUUUGCUGUUGUUUCCAGUCCGUUGAACUACACCAACGAGCAUUCGCACGAAAUCUCCUCAACCGCACACCGACUCCGACCACGUCAACAAACCCAGGUGGUGGUAGCUUGUGGCCAUAGCAGGAUUCUUCUGUCGCUGUUCUAUAUGGUAUUCUGGAAUUACUAAAUUAGGAUUCAUUGCAAGAGUUUUGAUUCUUUGAUAGAUUGGAAAUGGGCUCUGAUAAGCACACCCUGCAGGUCUUCUUGAUACUCUCAAAAUGGAGAGGGUCAGAACUAUAUUUACCCACACUUAUCCUUACCCUCAUGAGCAUUCACGCCAUGCUGUAAUUGUUGUUGCAGUGGGUUGCCUUUUUUUUCAUCUCAUCUGACAAUAUACAUACUCUAGUAGAAAAAUUAGACAACAAUGUUAAACGGUGAUCUAUGUAUGGCUGUUUGUUUGGGUUCCUUUUAUUUAUUUUCAUUGCCAUUUGUAGGCAAGACUAUCAAGCUGAGUUAUUCAAAUUUCAGUCGAUGGUACAUAGCCUGGAUUUUAGUGGCUGCAAUGUACCAUUUUUCUAAUUUUCGGUCAAUGGGGGUGGAUAUGAGGAUGAAUCUAUCUUUGUUUUUGACAAUAUAUAUCUCAUCCGUUGUGUUUCUUAUUGUUUUCCACAUUCUUUUUUAUGGCCUCUGGUAUAUUGGUUUGGUUUCACGUGUGGCUAGAAAGAGACCAGAGAUCUUGGCCAUUCUUCAAAAUUGUGUUGUACUUAGUGUAGCAUGCUGUGUAUUUUAUAGGCAUUGUGGAAACCGUGCCAUGUUAAGAGAAAAAACGCUUGAGCACCAAAAAGUUCAACCUGGUUUCCUUUCUGGAAGAAAGAAGACAGAAACACAUGGCUUACUCUUGGGAUUUCUCACAGUGAGUUUUUGAGCAAUACCAACUCAAUUUUCAAUAAUUUCAAACCUUUGUACAUUAGUCAUUUUUAAUUUAAUUUCAAACGUAUUUCUUUAUUAAAGUUGGAAGAAAAAGAUUACCUGGAUGGAAUAUCCAGUUAUAAUCCCGACUAUAGGGCUCAAGCUGUAAGAGCUUGUAAGCCAUAACUGUUCGUCUUCUCUCCAAAACGCCUGUAAAUAUCUCAAACCAUCUUCUUAAUAAAAUUUGAAGAAAAAGAUUAUCCUGGAUGGAAUAUCCAGUUAUAAUCCUGAAUAUUAGGCUCAAGUUGUAAGAGCUUGUAAGCUAUAAAUAUUCGUCUUCCCUCCAAAACAUUCGUAAAUAUUCGAACCAUUUUCAUAGCAAUAUUGGAAAGAAACAGACUGCCUGGGUGGAAUGUCCAAACGUAGUUCCGAGUGUUAGACCCAAGUUGUAAGAGCUUGCAAGUAACAAGUACUCGUCUUUCAAACUUCAAAAUACUUAAUUCCUACCUUAACACUUUUUCAAUAAAGAUGGAAAUGGAACAUGGUGUAUAUCGUGCACUCCUGAGAUUAAGAUUCGAGGCGGAUGCCUUGCCUAUCAUAGAUCUCGCCAUCGUUUAAAAUUGUCAAUGCGGUUUCUUCAAACCCUUUCUCAAUCAAAUUCAAAACACUUAAUCUUUAUUAAACACUUUUGCCAAUAAAGAUGGAAAUGGAACAUGGUGUAUACCGUGCACUCCUGAGACUAGGAUUCGAGAUGAUCAAUCAAAUUCAAAACACUUAAUCUUUAUUAAACACUUUUGCCAAUAAAGAUGGAAAUGGAACAUGGUGUAUACCGUGCACUCCUGAGACUAGGAUUCGAGAUGGAUAUCUCGCUCAUCCAAGUUCCCCUCAUCACUCAAAAUACAUCCAACCAAUCAAACUCUUUCUCGCCGUCGUGCGAUUAAUCAAAGAACCUUUUCAUAAACGAAAGAUAUAUUGUCUUAAGGUGAUGCAAAACAAUGUUUCGGCCACGAUUGUUGAGUCGAGAUAAGUGACGUUUUUCCGAAUGUUGAUUUGUAAAUCCAUUCGAUGUGUGGUAUACGUCCGCUCCUCAUCUGUUUUGGGUAAAACAAUGUUUUCUUCGAUUAAUACAAUAUAGCUUUCGCUAAAAUCGACCAACAAACAAAGAUUUUCUACCCAGAACUACAUAAGCCUUGAUUUCUCUGUUGAGAUACGUAGGAGCAGGAUUUGUAAAUCUUGUCAGGCCCACUAAUAAAAAACUUAGGUUUAGUCCUUCGUCAAAAAUCCAAAAACAUUUUCCUCUCUUUUACUCUUUCUUUCCCAUUAUAACUUUAAAAGCCUAACAUUUCAAACUAACAUUAACGCGCACAACUAACCUAAUGGUUCCCGUUGAGUAACAACGGACGUGAGGGGUGCUAAUACCUUCCCCUUGCGUAUCGACUCCCGAACCCUGAUUUGGUUGCGACGACCAACAUCAUUGUCGUUUUGUCUUGGGUUUUAUCGAUAUUUCCCCUUUCCUUUUUAGGAAUAAAUAAAGUUCGGUGGCGACUCUGUUCAGUCCAGCAUUGCGAGUGUGCGAUUUGCGCUUCGCUUAGGUCGUAUCCCCACAAUUUUCUUGAGGUACGACCGAUGGCGACUCUGCUGGGGAAUAACUCCCUAAGUGAGUCAAGCCUAGUUAGGUCGUUUGAUGCCUUUGUUUAUUUACUUGCGUGGCUUUUCUUUCUUGCUUUUGCUAUCUUUAUUGUCAUAUUGAUAUAAUCUGUUGUAUUGUUUCCAUUAUGCUUUGGUACUUGGAUACUCUGAUUGCAAACCUUGUGGGAAAGACUUUUUACCCGAGUCUCGAGUAAAAAGCUAAGAUAGGACAAGGUUGAGUAGUGCGGGUCCGCGAGAUGAAUUUCUCGUUGGGUCGGUGCGAGAACCUUACUUAGAGUAGAUCCUUGGGAGGAUGUUGUUGCUCGACAAGUAAGUUGCCGUAAGCUUCGAUAUUUUCAUAAGGAUCCAUGACUCUAAGGACCAUUUAUAGAACCUUAAUCAUGUGUCCAACUAGGAAAGAUGGUUGCGUAGUGUGGGUCUGCGAGAUGAAUUUAUCGUUGGAUCGAUGCGAGAACCUCACUUAGAGAAGAUUCUUUGGAUGGAGUUGACGCCCGGUAAGUAAGUUGCCGCAGGUAGCAAAUAGUCUGAUGGAUCCAUGACUCUAGGAACCUUUGUAACCCUAGAUCAUACCUGGUGAGAACCUAUUCUUGGAAAGUAAUCAGAUUCAUCACUACCUCAGACUUUUGAACCCGUGUAUUGAGAAAAAAAAACAAAUAUGCAUGGCUUGCAUUGCAUUCAUUUACAUUCCAUUGCAUCUGUAUCUCAUCAUAAUGCAUGUCAUUUUCCAGACAAAAUACAAAAACUCAUCCAUCCUUUGUCCAUAAUCAGCAAAGUGAUUCCUAACACGCGUUUAGAACAAAGAACCAUGUCUCAAGAGAUGAUGGACGAGCUAAGGGAAAGUCAAGAAGCAUUGAAGGAGGAACUCAAUCUUUUGAAGAGCCAAAUGGGAUGGGUCGUGCAAACCCUGCAAGCCUUAUUGAGAAAAGGGGGUCAUCCCAUACCCAUUGCUACAACAGAGGGAGCUACUACUCCACAUCCAUCUAGUGUUACCCCAAGUCAAGGGAAAUUCUAUAUGGCAACUCCUCACCUACUAGCAUAUGGACCUCCCUCAGGACGUCAUCAUCAACAUCCUCUGAAUGUUCCUCCUCAAAAUCACCGAAGUCAGGUUCGAAACAAAAAUCAGAAUCAAAACAAGGGGAACAUAGAUCACAAUGACCCAAUUCUGGUGCCAUAUAGCAAGCUCUACCCAUAGUUGAUCCAGAUUGCUUUGGUGACCCCUCGAGCUCUCACACCUACGUCACCAUACCUACCAUGGUACAAUCCAAAUGCAACAUGUGAAUUCCAUAAAGGAGCAUUGGGACAUGACCUAGAUUCUUGCUUAGCACUAAAAGCCUUGCUACAAGAACUGAUUAACAAAAAGCUUAGUCUUUGAAGAAGAUCACCUAAAGGUCAAGUGUGGAUACCAUACUGGAACAAUGGGGCACUCCAUCAAGGAAUGCAAGAUAUUUAAGCUCAAGUUGCAAAGAUUGAUUUACAUAAGGUCACCAACAUUCAAGGAGGAAGGCUCGGGUACAUAUAUCUUGAUUUCUGGGCCAGUUAAUGUGAAAGGGAAAGGACCCCUGAAACCCCUCAAGGUUUUGUACCACAAGGAAGAGG